UCAACAUAUCUUUAAAGAUACAACAGUUAGUGUUUACUAAAUAUUUUAUUGCUGUAACAUAAAAGAUACAUCUAUCCAACCUCAAUAUCAAAUGCACUCUUAAUUUGUUCAAACCCCAAAUACUUUAAUUGCACUAUAUCAUAAAUAUCCAUACAAGAUCUCAAUAAAGAAUGACGAUACGACUACAAAUUCUUGUACAAAUUUAUCUUGUACAAAUUGAUUUGAUAUUAAUUCAUUGGUUGAAUGAAAAUACAAAAUAAUAAAAAUAAAUCACGUGGGCAGAAAAAAAUUUAAUUCAACCAAUUUUAUUAUGCCACAUCAGUUUGUACAAAAUAAAUUUGUACAAAAAUUUAUGACUAUAUUAUUACUCCUCAAUAAAAUUUUAGUUAAAAUUAAUAUUGUUUAAUAAUAAUAAUAAUAAUAACAAUCUCAAAUUUUACAAGAGUUUAUAUUUUUCAUGUUGUCAAAUUGACAUGUCAAUUCAUCGAAAAAGGAAAAGAAAACAAAACAAAAAGAGUGAAUCGGUAGAGGAAGAUUCCUUCUUGUCCUUUUCUAAAUAUUUGGGUGGGCGGUUGAAAACUUCCAUUUUCGAUUUUUGUUUUUCACAUAUUGUUUUAUUAGCAUUUAUAGAACUUUGACUCGUGGCUCUGCUUUUCCAAGUUUCUUCUUCUCCCUACACGCUUUCCUUCUAUCUUUCGCAGCCAUUUCUUGACUAACCAUUUCCUUGUUUGCUCUCAUUUCUCUCCCAUUCAUCUCAAAUUCCCACCAUGGAAGAUGCUAACUGUAUGUUCUUGAUGUUCUUGUUUCAUGUUUCUUUCCAUUUCUUUCUUCUUUAUUUUUGCUGACGGGGGUCGUAUCUUUCAAUCUUUUAAUUCUUGCUUGAUUUUGGUAGUUUAUAAAUCAAUAUAUGUGUGUGUAUGCAAUUAUGCAUUUGCCUUAUUUAGCCUUUGAUACUGUUCUUUGCAAAUGGACUCCAUUUAUAGCUGGCUUGCUGCUAAGACAUAUAAAGUUAGAAUCUGGGGUUGUGUUUCUUUUGUUUUCCAAAGUUAACUGGAGACUUUUCUUAUUACUAUUGUUUUUAAACUUCAAAGAAUCUGAGUGAUUGAUAUGAUGAUAUUAUAUUUCUGUUUUGUUCAACAGCGGUGGAAACUAAAGACGGAGCUAUUGCUGUUGCUCCUGCAUUUCCAGGUCAUCAGGAAGGUAAUGCCAAGAUUUAUGUCUAUAUGAUAAAGAUGUUUAAAGUAUUUCAGGUUCAAGCCUGUUUGUUUGUAUAUCUUCCUGGAUUUUGAAUGGUUUAUUGUCAAUGUAUUGAUCCUCGUUAUUGAAUUGUUUUCGUUUGUAUUCGGUAGAUCAUAUUCUGGUUCCCAUUGUGGGGUCUCAAGUCUAAUUUCGACUGCUACAAGUUCUUUUGUUUUUCUUAGUCCUAUCAGCUACCACCAUUUCAUUUUUGGUUAUUGUUUGAUCAGCUGUAAAGGAUAGGGACCAUAAAUUCUUAACAAGAGCUGUUGAAGAAGCAUAUAAAGGGGUUGAAUGUGGAGAUGGUGGACCGUUUGGUGCAGUAGUUGUUCGUAAUGAUGAAGUAGUUGUCAGCUGUCACAACAUGGUAUUGAAUAACACUGAUCCAACUGCACAUGCGGAAGUUACAGCUAUUAGAGAGGUUAGAUUAAAAAAUUUGUUUCUUCUUUAUGUUCUUGUUCUUCUUGAGGAGCUGUCUUUGUGCAAUUGUGCUCAUGCACUUGUGAGUGUCCUGUUUCCUGAACUACAUGGCUAGGCAUAAGUUAUUUUUUGUUUUGACUAUUUAACUCUUAGUAGCUCUUUCCUUCUGUUUGUUAGGUAAGUUGGUUUCUGAAGCCUUCAACUUAGUUACGACAUUUCAAGUCUUAUCUGAUAUAGCCUUGUGAAAGUAAUUGUUUAAAAGUUGAGUUUAUGGACAACUUCUACGAGUUCGUCUUGUAAUCCCUUUUACUACAUGUAUUGUUUACUUAUCUUUUGUUCAACUUCAACAUCAAGCAUAUACAGUGUGUCCAUAAUUGCAUUGGUGGAAUUCUCAAAUGAGGUGUGAGUUUUUUAUUGUGUAAAUCUGGUUGUAAGCACAGUUCCUUCAUCUCUGAAUUGAUCCCGUGAUUCAAGCUGUUCCUGUGAAGACACAUCUCUAAUGCUAGAGUAUACAGCUUGUUUUCUACCUUUUUUUAUUUUAGAGUCAGCAUCGCAAAACGAAUAUUCUUCAAAGGGCAUGCGUGUGGUUCUAAUGGUUGAAAUGAUCUGUGUCUCAGGCAUGCAAGAAGCUUAAUCAAAUUGAGCUCGCAGACUGUGAGAUAUAUGCUUCCUGUGAACCUUGCCCAAUGUGCUUUGGUGCCAUUCAUCUUUCAAGAAUCAAGGUCAGUCAUCUAGUUUCAAUUCAUUUUCCUUUUACUCUCAAGAUGCACCACCUUCUUCCUCACAAACAAAGCUUUUGAUCAUUCUUUCACAUUUUACUUGCAGAGGUUGGUUUAUGGAGCCAAAGCUGAAGCAGCUAUAGCAAUUGGAUUUGAUGAUUUCAUUGCUGAUGCAUUAAGAGGCACUGGUUUUUAUCAGAAGGCUCAGUUGGAGAUAAAAAAGGCGGACGGCACCGGGGCCGCCAUUGCAGAACAAGUAUUUGAGAAGACAAAGGCCAAAUUUCAACUGUACUAAUUUCCUUCACUUAAACUGUGUGAUUAAAAGACAAGACAGUGGAUGCAGUAUGUAGAAACUUCUUAAUCUCUCUGUACAUUGGUCACAUUCUGAAUUUGAUCAUCUGACAGAAUUUUCAUGGUAAUGAAUUUCGUAGGACCGCAACAAAUGCAAACACCGCAUGCUUUCAAUUGACCAUUUUUCGAAAACACUAAUUGAUUUAUCAUAUUAUUCAAUUACUGUAUGUAUGUACUUCACAAAAAUGUAUUUAAAAAAAUCAACAAGACACGAGGUCCAUCUCGGAGGGUUUUGAAAAAAAAAAAAUUGCAUAUUGUUCCUUGCCCACUGUUUUCUGUAGGGAACUAAAAGGAAAAUGACAAACAAAAUAAAUAAAACAAAAAAACUUUAAUAUUUAUUACUGUCACUGAUCUUACAAAUAUAUGCUUGGCUAGGCCGGCUAGGCCAGCUACGCUAGCAGAACCUCUCGUCACAAAAACCUGCUGAUCUUGCUUCUCGGAAUAUAUAGGAUAGUGCUGAUCCCAGGUACAGGAACAAUAAAAAAAAUGGACUUUCCUCCUGUAUGAGUCAAUUUUGGCCUCUGCAGAUGCGAUCAAAACUUUGUCCACUAAACAAGUAAAGCAUAAAAUGAUCAAGACAUCUUAAGUUGAAUUUGUCGAUGGAUGUUUAUUAGGAACUCGACAUAAGAUUGCCCGCCAGUAGGAAUCUUGUCUUCAACCAAAUAUGAGAAGAACACCAUCCCUGCAAUUUAAAUGAAAUAAAUGUAAAUGGAUGUCAGAAUAACUUUGCAUGAUCAAUGAGGAACAAUUAAAGCAAUGCUUUUGUUCAACAAAUUUAUUGUCACCAUCUUACAGACUAUAGUCGAACUUUGAGGUUACAGGAAGGAAUCAAUUAUGUACAGCUAAAUUAAGUUGCAUAUAAGCCUGCGGUACUGCAAUUCUUUCUAAUUAUUUUUAUUGUAAUCAAUUGCUUUACAAGUUAAGAGUGCAGAAGCGUAGGCAUGAAGGGACAUCUACUGAUCCUGAUCUCUUAUGUAAUGAGAGUCCAAUCAAAGUGGACAUUCAAUCAUAUCUUGUUGACCAUUCCAAAUUUUUGGGAUUGCCACUGGACUAUGCAAGUCAUAUGAUAAAGAUUUAAUAUCCAAAAAGAGAGAAAUUUAAGAAAAAAAGAGGAAGAAGAGAGAAGAAAGACAUGCAAGUAGAUCUGAGUAGAUCUGGUGGCCAUGAAAAUACAAGGUCCUGGUAAUUAUGUAACAGGGAUAACAUGGCAUUAUUGUAAACACGUAGUAGUAGCCUUGCAAGAUAGAUAAUUCCCUAAUUAGGACAAAAGAGUAUUCUAAUGCACUGACCUGAAGGAUCUCCUUUCUUGCACAGCUUUAACCUGUGAGAAGAUGAAACAAAGAGUUACCAAGUACUGACUAAUUGAGAAAUCACUAGAAAAUCUAAUAUAGAGUACAAACAAACUGUACUUUUAUGUUCAAGAACCCCUAAAAAAAAAUUAAUAAUAAUAAACAAUAAAUAAAUAAAUAAAGAAAGAAAAAAACUCGUUCUACCGUAGAUAGGAACAUCUUUGGCGUCUUAUCUCAUUUAUUACGUCAUUCAAUUUCUUUGAUAGUGGAUUGUCAUAUUGCUGUAGCACAAACUGCAUAAACAAAUUAUACUUAUUAGUCACAAAAUGACAAGUUGCAUUACAAAAGAGGUAAGAGGUAACAGAAAAUGAUUGAUGGAAGGUGGAAGAGGAAAAGAAGAAAGCUAGCCCAGCAAGUCUAUCAUCCAGAUAAAGAUUGGCCAGAAAAAGUCGUUUUAUUACAGAGUUUAUCCAACAAUCACACAAAAUCAAGUAUCGGGGAUGCUAUAACACACAAUUAUCAAGAUUAAGGAUGGACUAAAUCUGAGCACCAGCAACUACUGGCAUCAAUAUCUACCACAUGAGCCUGCAAAUGAAAAGUUCACGGCCUCAAAUAAAUCUGGUCAAGUUUUGCUACCGUACAAUGUCCAACUUUUACCUAUAAAAUGUUAACUUAGCCAAAUAAGAAAAGCUAGAAACUUUUCAAACUAAAUAAUAUGUAAUCAUUCAGUCUUAAAUUUAUGCUGUAGUCUCCUAAUAGUCCUCUAUUGGGACAGUACUAAACGGAAUAUUUCCAAGUUCUGGUGCUCAGACUUUGGAGUUGGUGAGAAUACAACCUACUAUAAAAUGACAACAAUAAUACUUGUGAAAUGUAAAAUAUUUCCCGGGCAUUAUUAUCAUCAAACUACCUGAGUUGGAACUUCAUCAACCGAGGAUAUGCCGAACAGUUGAUGCAAGAUACUUGAAUCCACAGAGCUCCCAAUAUAUAUUAAAGCAUCCUCCCCAUUCUCAAGAAGAUAGAUUCCCUCAUCACUCACGUGUUCACUAGAAAGAGGAAGGAAUGGAGGAAUAAUAGACCCAUCUUCUCCCUGCCAAUUACAGAAAGUUAACAAAGGUUUCAUGAACAUAUUUGGAAGACCAUAAAGCAUAAAAAGAAGCUUCAGAGACGAAUACCUUGUCAAGGUCAUGGAUAGCCACCAUCCUUGGGUACACAAAUGGAACCGCAAAAGGAAUAGAAACAGAAGAAACAUAAGUUAUCCAAAAAGAUCGAUCAUCUAUUCUGCCAUCAGUUCGCAAUCCUGUACUUUUAAUUAAUGCUGAAGAUCCACAAAAGAAAGCAUUAUGUCAACCCACGUUAUCCUUUAACAAAUGCUCUUAACAAAAAAUACUGAACUAAAACUACUUCCCACAACUUGUAACUCCCCCAUAUUGAGAUUAUGUUUGAGAAUAAUGAGAUUAAUUAGGACAAGAAAUACCCUAGCAACCAAAAAAGUGAAGACCUCAAACUACUGAAAGACAGUAAAAACUUAGGAAACAGUAAUCAGUAAUCUUCGAAUAAUUUCAUUAAACUCAGUUUACAUACUAAAGCAUGUAAGGCAUCUCUAACCAGCACAAUGUUACUUAUGUCAUCUUAACCAAUUUUGUAGAUGCCAAACCUACUAAAAAUUAAACAUACGUAGAUACUUUCAAUCCUCCUAACACAUUCCUAAACAAUCCCACAACAUUAAUGGUAAUGAAUGACAAUAGUGAGGAAAAAAUAAUGCAGGAAUGGAUGUUCAGUUACCAUGUCAAUAGCUCACGUACAAGUAUCAGAAAACAAACAGAAUAUAUAAAAGAUGUUAGCUUUACGCAAGUGCCAAGCACCAUAAUAUAUUCAAACAGCUAAGCACAAAACGAAUGAACAUUAUAGUAUUUACCAAGGGUGUACAAAGGCAAAAGCUUCAGAGCCUCUGGAAGAAUAAGCUGCCCAGAUGAUGAUACUGUUGCACAAAAUUUACGAUAUGAAACCAGAGCAUUUACGCAAAGGUUCAUCAUUUGUUCCCGGACAUUUGCUAGUGGGGUUGAAGGAAUUUCACUUGCCGCUACAAACAGAGUACAAUGAAGAAGGAAAAGGAUAAGCAUUGUGAAACUUUAUCAUAUUGAAUAACUAGAAAAGGAACUCUACAUCUUUUAGGAGAUAAAUAUUCACAUAGCUAGGCAGAAGCUCAUGCACAAGCAAAGAAAGCAUGUGAUGAUGCCAUCAAAUAUUGAUAAAAGAAAAUAAGAAAUAUUAGAACAAUCACACUUAUAUCGUAGAUGUUGAAAACUAAGAAAAAUGAUUAUGCUGCUAAUGAGAUUAGGAAAAUUGUAUAGAAAGUAGAAAGAAGACGACAAAGAUAAAUACACAAAUAGAUAUACCUUGCUUCAUAAAACAUGUAAAUUGAGUAUCCAAGUCAGCUGAACGGUACAGAUUACUUAAAUUACUGGUGCAUGGCAAAGAUAAAGUUGUAACUCGAAUUCGUCUUUGGCCAUAAACAGUGGUAUAAAGAAGGGCGCACUGACAAAUGAAAAUAACAUAAUCAUCCAAUUAGAAACGCUGAUUACAAGAUGCUAAAAGACCUUACAAAAAGCUUCAUAUGCUAAUAAGCAAUGUAAGGAUUAGAAACCAGUGUUAGCUUGUAAAAAUUUAAGCCUUAACAUUCUGACUUAGAGGGGAGAAAAAGUUAAUACCUGAAAAGCACAUUCUGAGCCAUCCUGCAAUUUAUCAUCAUGCUUUAAGGUUACCAUUAUAGCUUUGUUACAGUCAAUCUGCAAAGUAAAAAGGACAACUUAUUGGUUAAAAACUCAAACAUUAAAAUAGCUAGCAAAAUAUGCUGUGUCACUAUAACAUAUAUAAGUAACAGUAGUUGGAGAAUUGAAAUCAGGAAAAAGAAUGAAAAAGGCAAGGUGGAGUGUCAUUAAUACAGUGCAUCGGCUGCACUGAGACUGUCAAAAAGAAGAGAUCCCAAAUAUCAUCUUAACACCCAAUAAAUCAGAUUAAGGAUAUCUCUAAAAAUAAUAGCAAUAACAAUAACAAUAGUGAUACAUCAUGUCACUAACAUACUUUCAAAUUCUAACUAAAUCAGUUUGCAGGAUGGCCCAAAUUAGGGUUGCAUGAUCCAUGAAAAGCCAAUGCUUAGUGACACUAAGCAUUCAUGGAGAAAAGGGAUUGACAUUAUCACCAUAAAACAUAAUGAAAGUCAACAGUUUGACAGAAUAUACAAACCGCAGGUAGGUCAAUGUCUGUUGGAAUCCGUUUGCAGAAGUUCCCAUGGUAUUCUUGGACUUGGAUGCCCUAUAAAAGAAUAUAAGAAAAUUAAUCUACAACAAAAGGCAUUCUGAAAAUGACAAUUUUCAUGUUCAUGAUUGUAAUGAAAGGGAGGGAGGAAAUUUAAAAAAAAAAAAAAGAAGAAAAGUUCAGAUCAAUACCUGGCUGCAUCUGACGCGCAUUACUGCCUCAAAUCCCUGGGGCCUUGUGAUGUUCCAUCUAAGGUCAUUGUACAAUUUUGCAGGAUCAGAAAGCGCUGAAAAUGGGUAGUAAUAAUAAACCUGGAAAAAGAAUGAAACAUGUUAUAUGAAAAAUAACCCAAAAGCACAAGAAAUUUUUUUUUUUUAGAGGGGAGAGGGGGAAAAAGGCAGAAAAAAACAAACAUAUUUAAAUGCUUCAUUUUUCCUUUUUCUUUUAACCCUUUUUCCACUCACAUGUCUACUUAUUCUACAACCUAUGAAUAGUUUCAGUUGAGCACGCUUAUUUUAGCACGAGUAAGAUACGAGAUAAGUAAACAACCCAGUACUUUCCAUGUUCCUUUCAUUAGCAUACUAAUGUGGCAAAGACUAGCAGCAUCAGCUCAUACAGUGAUUAGAACUUAAAAGCCAAUUAUUUUAGGACACAGCACUGAGAAUAUAGGACAAAUAAUUCAAGUCAAUUUCUCAGAAAAGACACCAAGGCUAGAAGAGCCAUUACCUGUCCUCCAGUAGUUUUCGGGAUAACAGAGAUGGAAGCAAUGUCUACAUAAGUCUGGGUAGUGAUAAAAACAUCAACACAGACCUGGAACAUGUUGAAACCAACAAAAAAAUAAACACAUAAAUUAUGCUCAGUUCAAAUAUCAGAUAAUACCUACGUCAAAAUUUUUGUAAGUCUAAGAUCACAAUUAAGAAAUAAAAAAUGACUCAGGACUUCACCUGAUACUCUGCAAAUUCAAUUGCCAUUGCCUUCAAAGUUUUAUCAGCUGGUUGAAGUAACUUAUGCGUCUCCUGAAAUCCAACAAAUGAAAUAUUACUUCAACCUGCAAUCAUAUGAUUAUAAUCUGCUGUUGCAUAUAAACCGGAAGACAAUUUAUUCUGUUGAUACAGAAUAAUCAACGAGAAAACAAAAUUAACUGCUUAACCAAAAAAGUUACAGAAACAGAAAUGAAAACCUUAAUAGAUCUAGGAAUUAGGGGAAAAUCAGAGAAAAGAUCUCUCAAGUAAUUUACGUAUAGCAAUUUUUUCAUUGGUUCCUUCUCAUUUUCUUCCAAUUCACAAUUCACAUCAUGACACAAUAAACUUCUUAACUUCUUUGAAACAAAAACUAGAAGCCAGGCAGCCAGCACAUAACCAUAAAAGAUGCACAAGUUAAACCUUAAAAUGAUUUUAAAAAAACAAAAAGAAAUAAAAAAGAAGUUCUAGCCAAUUUUGAAAAACAGUAUUGGUUUUUGAUCAUGACUUCUGAGGUCAUCUGUAUUUGGCAUAUCUUCAAGCAUCUCUGCAAGCGGAAUCAUAGAAAAGAUCUGGUAGGGACUCAAUAAAUCAAUUUCUUGUGCCCCUUUUUUUUGGAUAAGAAACUCAAAGAUGUAUUAAUGAAGAAGAUUUAAAACAGAUAGUGGACCAGCUGUCCACUAAGAAAACAGAAACUAGGACUAUUUGUGUAUACAAAAGUAUACCCAAUCACCUCCAUACAAGGCUAGAACCAAAUAUAACUCCCUAUCUCAAAACCCCAUCCCAGUUAAAAUGUAUGUAGAAAAAGGAUGAAGAUUUGAAACAGAUAAUGGAACAACUGUCCACUACGAAAGCAAAAACUAGGACUAUUUGCUAGAAUCAGAUAUAACUCUCUUAUCUCAAAACCCCAUCCCAGUAAAAUUUACUUAGAAAAAGGAUGAAUCUUGAAACUGCUUACAAACUAAAGCCCAAAGUGAAGCAAAAAGAUGGACAGUAUCCCGCAGUUCUUCAUUCUGCACUUUUCCACUCCAAAAUAUGAACAUUUUUCUCCUCAAUUUCUUGUGCAAUUAACAUCCUCCUAAUGGUCGGACGACACAUACUUUGGUGAUCUUUGGAGGAAAGAAAGGACAUAACAGUUUCUGGUAAUCACAUCAAGUCAAUGACAACUAUACAAUGCUCUAUGCUUAGGAGAACUUAGUGGAAUGCGCACAAUUGAGUAUUGACUUACGGUCACCCAUUCUCAUCUAAAUGAUAACAAUAUUACAUGCACAAGGAGAUAUCAUAUGCUGUACUAUAACUCAAGAACACACGGAUGGCAGGAGAAUAUAACAAAUAAAUUCAUACCUUUUCUCCUGAUGAGAUAUUGCUUCUUCCUUCAGCCUCUCUAGCAGAAAGGGCUCCAAUACCAACUGAAGGCAAGACUGUUAAAAUACAGAGCAUUAUUAGAAAUUACAAACCAUUCCAAGCCACAGGAUUUCAGUAAAAGAUCCCAAAAGAAAGUGAAUAAGCUGCCCAUAACAACUCCUCCAUAUAACUGAACCAUGUUGCAACAAUCAUGCAUUUGAAUGGAACAACAUCAGGAAACUUGGGAAAAAAAUGUAUGGGCUUGCCUGAUUGAAAGACCAGAAGUUUCCCUCCAGUACUCUUCAGAGCCAAGAAAGCUGCCUGAAAUAGGAAGAAAAAGCCUCAAAGUAUCUGAGAUGUGUAGAAUUUAUGUAUAUGCAUGUUGCAUAGAAUAUUCAAGGUUCUGAUUUAUCUGACAUAUAUGACCAUGCCAGAGAGCCACAUAAGUGAAAGGGCAUAUAUAUUGAUACAUGAAGAUCAAGUCUUAAAAAGAUUAAACAGAAAACUCGACAAAAGCAAAAUAUUUUAUGUAACAUAUUUUUUCUUUUCCUACAUAGUGAUCCAAAAUCAUUUUUCCACUCUUGGAGACCCAGCAAUAACAUAAUGACACAGUAAUCAUUCUAAAAUGCGAUCUCUAAAAUUAAUUAUCUAAAAGUUUUUUCUGAUUUAGCCUGUUUUCAGGUGACAUCUAAACAAUGAUCUACCUGUUCGAGAUUGCACACACAAACACACUCAGACACUCUUAUGGGAAAAGAAUAAGAAAGAAAAAAGGAAGAAAUUGGGAUACCUUGACUGCUGCACCGAAGGCUGACUCGGCAGUUCUGUUGUUCUGAAACAUGCUAGGAAUGCUUUCCAGCAAUAGCUCUAAAUGUUGACGGCACUAUAUCCAUACAAGAACAAACCAAUAUUAGUGGAAGUUAGUUGAAAAUUUCUCAAACAACAAACAUAUAACAAAUUAUAAUUUUAUUAAAUUAGACUUAAAAACUUCUAAAGAUACAACCAAACAGAAUGAAAUGACCCAAAAAUCUAGAAAUCUCACCUCAGAAACUGGAACAAUAAUAUCAGAUUGUAAAGGAGUAUAAACAUCUUCUACAUCAGGGACAAUGAGCAUCAAUGGCUGCAAAAAUAUAUCAAAAUCAAAAUGAGCCAGAAACAAAUUUUACAUGGCACAACCAAAUACUAAACAAACAAAAGUUUAAUAGAUAGGUAUCAGGACCGAUCAACAAGUUGAGGUUGUCGGAGCUAGUUGGUUCAAUAGGUAAAACCUUUUCGGGGGUGAUACAGGAGCUUUAGGGUUCAAACCCCGCUCACAUGAGUUAGUUUCCAGUCAUAGAAGAGUGAAAAAGUUGAGUUUUAUAUAGGUAUUACAAAAUAGCAUAUUGAAUAUCCAAAUGAUGAUUUCAACAUUUGUUUUAUGCGGAGUCAUCUUAUAUAAUAACAACAAAUGAUAGAGUUCACACUUGUGCACCAAAGCGGACUGGAAAAUAGUGUAAAGCAAACAUAAAAGGUAUAUUACUAUACAUCCAGGUAAUUCAAACAUCAAACUGCUUAAUCUAGAGGAAUAAAAAUAAUAUUUCAUUGUAUUUCAUUUCUGAAAGAAAAACAUCAAAUUAAAAGUUUUAAAGAGAAAUAGCGCAAAAUGGGUCAGACCUGCUGUAGCGCACGUUUCAAAUUGUAGAAAUGGAUUGUGGAGUCAAAUGUUGCAAUUCCCACCAUUGUUCGAGGACCUUCCUGCAGCAGCAGAAACAUCAAAUACCAGUUGUUAAAUUGCCCUUAAGUUUUUCAUAUUUACGAGUCAACAGCCCUCGGAAAAAGCAAAUAAGGAUAGAUUCUCUUCUUAAGUAAAAGAAUUCAAUUACAAGCAGAAGAGAAUGACUGAUUAGUGAACAAAAAUAACUGCAAACUUUAUUCACAUUUCGAGUACAUAAACAAACGAAAGUCAAAUAAGGCGUGCUAUGAGAAAAACAACACGAUACUAUUAGUUAUUACCAGCUAGUGAUUAAUUUCCAUCGUCAGCUUAAUAUAGCAUGUAGUUUGGCAAAAACGGCCAAGGCCAUAUCUCAACUAAUGUUUCUGCAUGGAAGUUUUCUAAAAGGGACAAAUGUGGCCUCAAGUCACUGCCAAGUUAAGAUUCUAUCUUAGCUAUGAUUUGACACAGUUCUAGAAAAGAAUUAGGGCUCCACGGCUCCAAUUAGGUUCACAUCAUCCAAGAAAGAGGAGCAAGAGAUAAGUUCAAAUCCAUAUUGAGUUUUCUUCCUCCAUUUAGAUAAUCAGAUAUGAAUUCCAAUGUACAAAACUAAUGUAGAGAGCAAUUGUAUGAUUAUGAAUUCCAAUGUGCUUUUUGAAACAGACUUAUUGAAAUGGUCAAAUGCAAUGGAAAUAGACAAAAACUUACAGGCAGAUCUGAAAUAACUUGACUGAUUGCACUGCAAGCUGCGGCAGUCGCACCAGUCUGUAAGGCAUUCAUGGAUACAUCAAUAAGGAAGAAAAACACAGCCGGCAUGGGAUCACGAACCUGGUACAACAUAAAAAAGAAGAGGGGAAAAAAAUGAGAUUUCUAGUGGCCUAGAGAAGAGAAUACUGUCAUAAAUUACUUUGAUCAUGCAAUAAUUAGAGCAUGAUGUCUCAUACAGAACCACACAUGGCACCUACAAUUGGACACUGAUAAUUUAUGAAAGUAUGUCAUAUUAACUGAUCAUUUUCUGUGGGAGUCAAAAAUUAUGGCAAAGAAUGACCAGAGAGUUGCCAAUCAUGACCUAUGUACUCACAAAUUAAAAAGACUCUUCUACAGAAGUAGGACAAGUAACAAAAGGUGGACAUUCAUAAGCAUCCAAAAGGAUGCAUGUUCACAAUCACCCACUAUGCUUACCAUUAAUGACUCCCAUGUAAUAGAAUAUAACAAAAAUGUUAUGAGAGGAAUACAGUAAGAAAUCAUCUUUUCUUGAAGGCGCAUAGAUUUGAAAACAUUAACCAACCAUAUAUUCCUUUGUGGCAACAAAUUCAACCGUCCCCCUACAUAGCUCGGGCCUGUCAUCAGCAUCUCUACGCCUACCAUCUGGACCUAGAUUGCAGUGAUAAUCACGGGGAGUCUCAUCGGUAAAACCUGCAAAAAGAUAAUGAAAAGUGAGGAAAGAAAGUCACACCCCUCCAACCGUCAAGCAAGUGUUCAGAUGGCAGAAUACUGCCAAAUCGAAAUACUACAGAGGCCUAAAUAUGAUGAGAAGAAUUUGACAUAUUUACAGAGACUCUUAGAAGACAACAACUACAAUAGGAACUUUAUUUUGCACAAUCAUCAAGAACCUCCUCAUGCCAUCAGGCAAUCUAUAGAACAUUAUUAGAGAUAAUGAGGAUCCAAUCAACUUUUCUAGGUCCAUACUACAAGGUCUUUAUAAGCUAACAUUUCAAUCAUAGAUAUCAGACCUAAAACUAACAAACCAAUGUGAAGAAUGAGUAAUAAACCAAGAAGAAAGGGUAGAUUUUCAAAAGGAAAGGAAGAAUGCGCAACAAUAAUAAGUCCUAACACAAAGCAAGAAUGCCCGUUAUAUAAUUAAAACUUUUUCCAUUUGGGGAAUGUGGAGAAAAGGAGAAGACAAUGACCAAUCCCAACCCCAUACACAGGAUUAUGCUGAAUACAAACAACCUUCUAAGGACACAGGAUAGAAAUGAUAAAAUGCAAAAUGCAGCGAUUAUAAAACUGACCACAUAAACUGCAGAUGAACCUCCUUCCCUGAUCAAUGAACUUCAUGAAAGGAUUUAUGUAGGCUUUGCAGCGAGAACAUCGAACAGGACCCAUGUCUCCAAAAUCUACGAUCUAUGACAAGAAAAAAUAUAUAAGCUGCAGGAAACAGAUUCCUUUUUUUGAAUAUAAAAUAUUAGCAAGCAGAUCUGCAGAUGCAAUCACUUGUCGGAACUUACAAGAGGGGUGAGUGACUUGGCAUAAUUUUAAAGAGACAAUAAUUAUCCCCUCAUUAAAAGAGUGGUGUAUUCAUUGAACACCCCUCCUCAAAAGGAAAUAAACAAAACAAUAGUUACUUUGAGAAGCAAUUUUUCCCUAGCAAACAAUUCAGUUAUUGAAAGCCUAACAUUCCCAGGAGCAAAAUAACUGCAAAAACUUUGCAUAGAAAACGUCAGGUUCUCCCCAAAUUGCCCAGCACUAACCCCCAAAUUUGAAGAAAAAGGCUCAGGAAAACCAUGGACUUCACACGUAAAUUUUGAUUCACUAACCAAUGAAUGCAUAUAUUUCUUUUUCUCAAAAGAGGAAAAAAUAAAAAAUAAACUGAAGCUAUCAGAUUUACAAGUGUAGGAGAAGAAAUGUAUCAAGCAUUACUUGGAUGGGCUCCUCAGAUGGAUGAGGAAGAGCCAAAGGUUGGACCAAUAAAGCCAACUGCAUGCCGGAUGUUGUCAGAAGGUCAUUAGUACAUGGAAUCUGUUGGAGAAAUAAAUCCUUAUUAGUCUAUAGUGUCAUUCAAUGAUUUAAAAUAGUAGUUCAUAAAUAUAUUAUUCAAUACAAAAUGAAUUCAUUUAAAUACUCAAAACUAGAUUCUAACCUGGCUAAUGGUGCAUCUCAUGUAGCGUGGACUGCAAUUCCCCAUGUCUCUAACAAUGUAUUCACUUGUUGCAGGCUUUACAAAUAUCAUAGAAAUAAUUAGCAAAGAGAAGUAUUUAAUUAAUUUAAAUAGAGAGAGCAAAACAAUUUUGAAUAAGAAAAAAAGCAAAACCAAGAAAAAAUUAGCAAUUAUUUCUUCUUAAAAUUCAAAACCAAAUUAUGUACCGGAGGAGGAUUAGCCUGAUUUCCUUCACGAGUGUCAUACAGGACCACCGUAGAACUGGGAACAGGCCGUGGAAUUUGUUGAGGAUCAAUUUUCGAUGAUGCUGGCAUAGGGGCUCCAGUUUGACCCAUUGCAGGAGGCAUAUUCGUCAUAGUUUGAGUUUGUAAUGGCGGAGGCAUACCAAACAUUCUAGAUGGUUGGGCUGAACCAGGAAUUGAUGAUGAUGGGCCAACCUAAAGCAACUCAAAAGUUCUAAAUCCAGAUCAUUGAUCAAAGAGAAAAGAAACAAAUGCAGAGUCUCAUACAUUUUGUACUUAGUUAUAUGCAACAAAUGCUCAUGUAGUUUUGCCAAAAUGUUAUAUAUGUUAAACAGGUAAACAACCCUAACUAGUAUGACAGAGCAAACAUAAAUGCAAAUCAUCAUGAGGGAAACUGAUCAUAACACAUAAAUUCUCAAAAUCCAAAUAGAGUCCAGAAGCAAGUUUGGGUUUGAGUAAAACAAUGAGAAAAAUUUUAAUGCAGGGAACCACUAGGACAAAGAUCUCUGGAUAUAGAGCAAUAGGUUGUAACCAGAUGCAAGCACUCUCCUUCCUUCUGUAACUAUUUCUUGUAAGAAAAUUCCCUAUUUUCUGUGGAAGAAAAUAAUUAUCUAUGACAUCUUCUAAUUUAUGUGUCAUUGAUUGAAUUUUUUCCCGUCUUUCAAAGAAUAUCACUUGCCUUCUUGUGUCACCAUUUAAUGUGACCAUGCAUAAAGACUACAAACUAAUUCUGAAAAAAUACCAAACAUAAUGCAAAUAUUCUAACUCAAUUUUCUUACACUAUAAAUUUUAUCUUAAUAUUUUUUCAAAAAUCAAUUAGAAGUUCAGAAUACUCAUUUUAAAUUAAAGAACAGAAAAACUAACAGCAAUUGACGUCAGCAAACUUACAUAGCUACAUAUCGCUUAGGUAAGACAGCCUUACCACAACAUGAUCUGUAAUUCAACAACCAUAACUUUAUUUUAGAAGUCCAAAGAAAAGAAACAUGAAUUUUUAAAGCUUACCGGCUGAGCUGACCAUGUAUGUGCCCCAAAAGGCGAAACUUGAGGCGGUCCUUGAGGAGAUGGUGCAGGAAAUGAUGGUGCACCUGAAAAUGGUGGUGUGCUUUGAGGAGCUGCUGAGAAUGGUGGUGCGCUUUGAGGAGCUGCUGAGAAUGGUGGUGCACUUGAGAAAGGUGGUGCAUUUUGAGGAGCUGCCGAGAAUGGGGACUGCUGCACUGGAGGGAACCGCAUACUUGGAGACUGCUGAGGAGAUCGAGCUGAUGUCAGCAUUGAUGGAGGACCAGCAGGUGGUGUCCGGGUUUGCUGUGCACCACUACCAGCUGGAGGAAAACGUGGUCCACCAGAAGCAGCAAAUGCCAUAGGCCCAUUACUUGUCACACCAUCAGAAGCGCCAGAAGGGGCAACAUUCAAACCACUACUGAAAGGCAAAGAAGAUGCAAGAGGAAACGGUCUAGCUCCUGGGGUUGCGCCAACUGGUCGAGUCAAUGAACCUGAAGAUGGGAAAGCACUGGAUGGAGGCACUCCAGAAGUAGGAACCCCCACAGGGCCGCCUCCACCCAUCGAAGAGGGAAAAGACCCGGGAGGAGGUCUGGAACCGAAAGGCAAAGAUUGGCCCACAGGUGGCCCGAACGGUCGCACUGGAGCCACAUUUGGAGGAAAUGACUGUUGCGGGGUUCCUGCAGGUCUUGAAAGUGCACCAGGUGGUGGUGGGCCAGGGCGGGACAUUGGUGGUGAAGGUGCUGUCACAGGAAAUUGUGGUGAUUGAGCAAAUGGGGUCGGUCUAGGGCCUGAAUUGGGCAUCGAAACAGGUCUGUUUAGAUUUAAAUUCUGGAAAUUAUCAGAUAAUGAAUUAGGGUUUUGUUGUAAAUUAGGAUUGUAGUUUGGCGGCGGCGGUGGUGGUUGUUGCCUUGGUGCCCCUGGAGGCACAGAAGCUGCCAUUCUUGUGAUCUAUCAAGCUAAACUUUAAACUUCUCCUUGUUUAACUAAUAAAAACCACUUUAUCAACCUACCAACAACGAGAAUCCAAACCCACCAUCAUCAGUAAUCAAUCACACCUAACAAUUUAAUUUUUUUUUCUCAAAAUUUUACAGAAACGCAUAUAUCACAAGCAGAAUAUCCCAAGAAUAAUCAAUAAAGCAACAAACUUUAUAUCCAAACAAAAAUCAACCGAUCAGCGAAAUAAACAUACCACUCGAAUUAAUCGAAAUUCACAUGCACAAAACAGAAUUCUUAAUGCUUUCAUUAAUCUAAAACUCAAAACAAUUAAAAAAUAAAAACUUUUAGAUGAGAGAUGUAGAAGAGAGAAAAACCUUUGAUGGGUUGAGCUCGGAUCUGCUAAUCUGCGAGGAGUGAAGCUAGUAUUACAGAUCUGUAACAACUGAUGUGAGAAGAUUUGGGAAGAAAAAAGGUAACUCAGUUUUGGAUCGGCAAUGAGAGAUCACACAAGUGGGUAUUCUGCGAUUUACGAUUGAAGAAGAAGAAGAAGGGCGGGUUUGUCUAUUAACGGUUGCGGGUUUCGAUGUGUUGUCCAAAAUAUUUUUUUUUUUUUUAAAUGAUAAUGGUUAAAUUUUUAUUUUUUUCCUUUUUCCUGAGCGAAGUGCACUGUGUGUAACAUGCGUGACUCUGUAACAGUUGUGUCAUUAAAUUCAUAGGAGUGUAAAAGGGCUCGUUGUUUAAUCCACUCAGAGUUUAACACGUAAGCUUUUGUUUUCCACGUCAGCGUUGGCCUUCUUUUUUUUUUUUGGGGGUUCUUUAUCCUUUUUUUCGUUUAUCUCGAUUGAAUUUUUUAAUACGAUAAUUUAAUAAUUUUUGAUAAAUAUGAAUGAAAUGGAAGGGAUGACCGGAUGAGGUUGACUAAAUUUGUUUUACAUAAUUUUUGUUAAUUUUUUAUAAGGUAAAAAAUCUCUAAGAUGAGAUAAUUUUUAAAUAAACAUAGUGACCUGCAAAUAACAUAUAUUAUUUGAUUACUUAGCAUGAGUUUUUCAACUCUAGUCCAGACAAACAUUUGGGUUAUAUUUAUUAAAAAAAAAAUACUUACGUUUGUGGGGUGGUUUAAGAAAUGUGGGCUUCCAAUCCCACCCCAAUCAAGAGGUAAGAGGGAUUUAUUAUAUAUUUGUGCAAUAAUAUAUGAAUAAUUUAUACAAUAUAUUUUGAAACUGUCAAGAAUGAGUCAACGUUACAAAUCUGAGAUUCUUUAUUAUAAAAAGAAAAAUUAACCACAAAUGAGGUUAAUCUAGGAGCAAAUGCAUUGAAGGGUGGGAUUGAAUUAAGAAAUUAUGGAUUUACUUUUUAAUUUUUAACUUUAAUCGGAUAGAAUUGAAUGUAAAUUUUAUGUACUAAAUUAUACUCGUUCUUGUAUCUUUGGUCCAAGGCAAAUGAGGCUGUCAACAGGACAAGUAAGUAAAUUGGAUAAUUUAGUUCCUUGCUAUUUGAUAUAAACUAUUUUUGUUCUUGUUGUCGUACAUCUCACGUGUGGAAAGGAGUUCGAGUCUCCAUGUGUGUUAUCAAGAAAAGAUUUUCUUAAGCCCACAUAUCCAAACCGCGCCGCUAUAGAAUUGUUCAAAGAGAUCAUAUCAGCACAUUUUCAAUUGUAAAUGUGAAUAUGUAUAAUAAUGAAAAACAAAAAGAAAAAAAUACUUCUUAUCAUCUGCAGCACACACUUUUACAUGUUUUGCAGCUGCACUUGAAGAAGAUAAUGGCAUUUGAUCUUUGGUUUUCUUUGCUUUUCAACCCAUUCUAAAGUGAGCAAAGACAAACAGUACAUAGUCCUUUAUUAUCUCGAAUGCCAGAAACAAAUAUAUCAUAUAUCUCAUAGGUUCAUCAAAAUUUCAUAAUCCACAAGUUUCAGGCUGCAUAAAGCUAAUGCAUGUCAGUGGUAAGUCGUAAUAAUAAACCCGCUGCCACGACAUGAACUUGACAAAUCUAAUAUGAAUAGAAAUUAGAAUAUAGUAGAUAACUUGUAAAAUCUAACAUAGAGGUUGAAAUCUAACACGACACUUGGGAAAACGUAGUGACGUAUUGUAUUGAUAACUCAACCUAAAGUUUCCAAGUUGUGAGACAAACAGCCUUCAAGCUUUUCUAAGCUUUCAGGUGCAAGCUGUGUCAUGUAAGAUAGUACAUUGAAUAACUAAUAAAGCAAACAUAGCCAACUUACCACAUAGAUUUCUGGUCAUUAGACAAUUCCAUAGCGAAGUACAUCUAGCUGAAUGCAGAAAUAUUAUGCAGUAUACAGCAUAGGUUUAGUUUGUGCCAAUCAUAUAGAACUCAAUUUAUGAUUGAACUGCAACAAAGUUUCAAUUACUUUCUCAUUCUAUCUUCUAAUUGAAUCAUCUAAAUAAAUAAUGUUCCAAGAUUUAAGUUGAUAUGAUAGCAAUUCGAAACUACACAUCAGAAGACAAAAUUGACAAACAUUAUGAGAUUCACUUCCUUACUUCUAACAGUAUACUGACUAGUGACUAGUCAAGAUAGCAGGGCAUAGAAAUUCCUGAAUACAAACAAUAAACAUAAGCACUGUCUCAAAUUACAAGUUAAAGAUGGAGAGAGUGAAUGACAACUAGAAUGAAGACCAAGGUAGGUAAAAUGAAAUGAACACUCUGAAAAACUUAUUAAAUUGACCCGGCAAAAUUUCAUUUAUGCGUGACAUACAAAUAUCGGCAAAAGCUCUUUUUCAUGGUUUGCAGAAAAAUAUAUAUGCUCAUUACUUGUCUAUGAAUGUACUUGCGAUGUGAAGCUAUACAACAGGGUAAAUUUUUCUUAAUCUCAAGUCAGUAGCAUAACAAUUGAAAGAUUUUACCAACAAAGAUAGCUAGCAUUCCCUUUAAGAUUUUAAACUAAUAUCAGGCCAUAAGUGACACAAAAUUAGUAAAAUAGAAAUCAAAUGCUAAACCAAUACAGUUGAAUCAAGUUUUUUUUUCGAUCUUGAAAUUUGAAAUUUUGAGUUAUUACUAACUUAAUCAUUCUCCAUUGAUUGUUCUGCAUUUUGCAAUGAAUAGCAACGCGUAUGCGCAAUAAACCAAAUCUAGAUCACUUGAAUUGCAAUUUGGAUAAAACAAAUCAUAGAAAAUAAAAUACCACCAAAUACAGUGGUGAAUAUUAGAGCUUUUAGAAUCAAUAUAUAUACAUCACCAUUAAACUAAUCAUACAACGCACAAAUAGACCAAAAACGGCCAACUUCUCAUUGCAAAAAGUAACCACCCAAGAACAAUAAGAAGAAAAACAACAAGCUACCAUAUAUCAACACAGCCUUCUGGCCAGAGGUGAGGGCAUUGCCACCAAGUCCAAACUGCUGAUUCUCAGCAAACCCCGCAAUCUCAACACUCUUACUCUCGAAAAAGCUCUGAGCAGCACCACAAGUAGGGCACCUCCAAUCAUCAGGCAACUUAUCAAACUGGAAGCCAGGUGGUAUUGGAUACGAAGGGUCACCAACUGCUUCAUCAUAUUUAUACCCACAAGACCUACACUCAUAUAUACCCGUAUUCAAGACUGCAAAUUUCUCUUCUAAUCGACGUUUAUCAAACUUUUCAUCUUGCUCUUCUUGUGCAGCAGGAGCUGGGGGAGGAGGAGGAGGAGGAGCAGAGGCAUUGGACAGUUGUUGCUGCUGCUGCUGCUCAGAAGUGGGCUUGUCUUCUUUCGAAACAUCAAUAGAGAGAGUGACAAAAUGGAGUUUUGAGGGUUUCUUUGGGAAGAAAAGAGGGGAGAUGAAGUGGGGUUUUGGUGGUUUUGAAGGAGAAGCUUGGGAGAGGUGAAAAGAGAAGGUGGGUCUUGCUGUUGCAGAAGCCAUAAAUGAUGAGUUUUGUUUUCUGUGUAUGGCUUCAAAAUGUUUGGUAUUUUGAAAAUGAAAGGACCGAAAUUUGGAGUUCAGGAUCUGUUGUUGUUGUUGUUGUGAUUAUGGGUUGCGGAGGAGAAAUGAAUAGGAUCCAUGGAAGAAGAGAAUAUGCUUCUUUCUGGAAGAGAGUUGGAUAAGGUGAGCAUGUGUUAGAGAUUUGCAACGUGGUGCACUUUUAUUAUGGGUCGGGUUAUAGUCAUUGGGCCUAGAUCAGAUUUUAAAACUGGGUUGAUGAUAAGCGCAUAUUAAACCUUUCACUUGAAGACUAAGAUCUUCUCCUCAUUUGAUUUUUUUUAAAUAAAUUUUAUUAUUAAUAGUUAAUAAAUUAAAAAGUAAAAAUAGUUAUAUUAUAAUCAUACAGUAAUACUAAAAUACAAGUAGCACAAGAUUAAUAAAAAAUCAAGAGUACUUAGACCAAAAGAAAAUCUUAUUUCCUUUACUGAAAUGCAGAGGAAUAUUCUGGAAUUAAAAGCUAAUUAAUACAAAAUUAAUUAAUUUGAUAAUCCUGCCUGUCUAGCUAGUAUAUAAAACCAUUGACAAAAAUUGUGAGACUGAUUAAGGCCAAGAGGAAGCACUGAUUAAGGUACAGAGUAGAAUGAAGGCCGCCCAUAUAUGUCGCCAACCCGCAUAUGUAGCCAAUCACAUAGGAAUAAUAAAGGCCAAAUACUUUGAAAGCAAGACAAAAAGUACCAAUAAAGUGUUGGCUCCACUGGCAAUGGAGUCCCCUUAAGUGGCUUGACUGGGUUUGCUCCCCAGUUCGAGUCGCAGGGAAGUCGCCUUUGUUGGGAGAACCUGUGCCUCCCGGUUCGAGCGGGGACUUUUAGUCUGGGUUGUGGUACGGGCUUAAAGGUGCCUCCCACAGUUGGGGCCCUCCCCAGGAUACCUCGUGACUAAUAUCAAAAAAAAAAAAGGAAGACAAAAAGUUGAUGACGAACAAGAACAGAGAGCUAUAUAUUAGUAGUAACAGACAGAGGGCUAACUGCUUAUUUUGGCUUGUAUUUAUGUAGCUUUUUAUUUUAUUUUUUUAGUCCGAAUCCUAGCUUGGAAAGGUUUCUUAUGAGAUUGAUAUUUGCAUUUUGACGGGGGACGUCAUUUGGAAACAAAUGAAGCUUCCUCAAUCCUUAAUCUGUUUGGGUAAAUUCUUGCAUAUCUUUUUUGCUAGAUUUAAUGUUUUACUUUAAAAAUUCAUUGACCGAUUUCGAUUAAAUUUGAUCUUAAUUGAUUAAUUUCGAAACAUAAGUCUAUGCUACGCAGUCCAGUCUCUAAUUUGAAUUGAGUUCUUGAAAUUGAUUAAAAUUCUCUGUGCUACUGGAGAUCUUGACAAGAAAAAUACAUUUCUUGCUCUCUUCAUCAUGCAGAAUGAUUGAGAACCGCUGUAUGCAGAACAGAAGAAAAUGGCUUAAAAUUAAAAAGCAAUAUAUCCAAAGAAGCGACAUUGAUACAAAGAGAUAUCAUAUUUUCAGCCACUUAGGCCUGAGCCUGGCAGACUUUUUCUCAGCAGCAGGUUUGGGCUCAUCGUGAGGCUGCUGCUGAUGAUCAGCAACGACUUGCAAACAACCUUUCAAAGACAUGACAUCUUCUCGAAGGAAUGGGCCUGGAUUAGCAGCAGAAGCAUCAUCAUAAGAAAAAUAGACAAUGGCACCAGGAAUAAAGCCAGCCGAGUAAAAAUCCUGGGACAUGUCUUUUAUUAUCCUCUUGGGAGGAGCAGUGUAUAAAUAGAACGGUACGUCUGUCCGAGAAAGCACCCUCAUCCUGAGAAAAUCAACCAGGCUCUGCAUUGUCUCUGACGGAUGGAAAUUGACCUCUAACGUGUGAUUAUCAGGAAACCUGACUCUGAUAAUUACUGCCUUUCUGAAUUUUGACCUGCCAGUGCCAGCUGCCUCCUCUGCUUCCCGAAUUCUUCUUGUCUUCAGGAAUUUAUUAUCUUCCUUUUUCUUAUUGGCUGCGAGUAUUCGAUAGUAAUCUUCUGCAGUGAACUCAUAGAAUUCAUCAUCAUCAUCAUCAUCAUUAUCAUCAUCUGUCUCGUCGAUUCUUGGUGAUGAUGAAAACUGCCCAGAUGUUUCAAAAACUCGGAUUUCUCGUCCAAACUUUUCUUUUGUAGCAGCAGCAAGUUCAAGCUUUGGCGAUGAACUCUCAACAGACAUUUUUUUUUUCUUCUUUAAAUGCCACUCGAAUUAAAAGACGAUUGCAGAGAGAAUGCGAGAAUUUAUGGAAAAUAAUUGUUGUGCAGUGUGCUGAAAAGACGCACGGCUUUUAUAGAUAACUAGGAAACAAUUCCCAAUCCUAAUCUGAUUAUGACAAUAAAUGGAAAUAGACAUAUAAAUGGAAAAUUUAAAUUAUUACAUCAUCAAAAUAAAAAUGAAAAGUUAAAAAAAUUUAAAUCUUCAAUUACAAUAUUUAUUUAUUUAUUGUUAAAAUUGACAUGGUUUCGGUUGUACUUAUAUUUAUCAAGAAUUGAAGUCAGCUUUGUAUGCAAUUCAUGGAUGCAAUAAUUAUCUAGCAUCAAUCAAGAGACGUCGCACUAAGUUCCUUUUGAAUGUUUAUGAGCAAAAUUUAGGGACGGCAAAAAUUCCCACCGGAACGGGUACUUUCUGAGAUUUUAUUUAUUUAGAAAGGGUAUGAGGAUAAUUUCAUACCCAAUUUCUUAUUCAGAGAAGGGACGAGGUAAUUUUUUUAUCCAAUUUCUUAUUCAGUGAGGUGACGGGGAUGAGGUGGAAUCACCAUCCCCUACCCAUUUCCCCAUUUUAAUUUUUAAUUUUAUUUUAAUUUUUUAAAAUUACUAGUAAGUAAAUAAUAAAAUUUAAAUUAUAAAAUUAUAAAUAUUGGUAAAAAUAAAAAAUAUCAAAAUAUUUAUAUUAUUAAACUUUUAGGCCUAAUUAAUUAAUUAAAGUCCUAAAUUUUUAUUUAGGACAUUAAAAAGACCGAGUAGAUUCUAUUAGCCCAAAAUUUUUUAAUUUUAAUAUUCUUUAAAUAUUUUAAACUUAAAUAUAUUUUUUAUUUAUUUUUAGAUGUUAUAAUUGCCCACAACGAAUCACAAUUUUAAUAUCUAAUCUAAUCUAAUCUAAUAUUUGCUCUUGAUUUGCUCCGAUUUAACUAUUGUAUUGUAAAGGGAAUAGUCCACAUUUAUAAAAUGCCUACGCCACCAUUGAAAAAGUUAAUUUUGAAUCUAAAUUCGAUUUUAUUUGUAACAAUUUUGUAUUAGACUAUUAAUUUGUUUAUGAUAGUUCGUAAAAGAAGUUUGUAUCCAUUGCAUGUUGCGUUACUUAUUAAUUUAAUGUAUGUGACUUUUGUAAUGGAUAUUCUGCUGUACCGUACAUCCGCCUUGGUGUUGCGUUACUUAUUAAUUUAAUGUAUGUGACUUUUGUAAUGGAUAUUAAUGUAAGAUAUAUUUCGAACUUUACUUUUAUUUUAAUUUUUAAUUUUAAUAUGAUUAACUCAAAAAAAAAUGUAAUAGUUAUUCGGGGAUCGAGGACCCUCGGGGAUCCCCUGUUAUUAUUUGGAGAGGGGAUGAGGAUUCUCUCAAGUAAUUCUGACGGAGACGGGGACAUACGCAAAAUAUCGGGGAUGGGUACGGGGAGAUUGGUCCCCUCCCCUCCCGUCCCCAUUGUCAUCCCUAGUAAAAUUUAUGUCGUAAUUGGGGUGAGAUUCUAUGCACUUUAAAAUUUAUUUUGAAUUUUAAAAAUUUUUUAUCUUUGUAAAACAUGGAGUCUAUGUGAGAUUCUCUCACUCACAAACAUCACAUUUAUUGUGCAUGCAUGAAAUAAAAAAAAUAAAAAAAUCUAGUUUCACACAUUUUAUUUUUUCUAACCUCUAGCUCAUCAUAUUUUCUUUCUAAACUGAAUGAUUUCUCCUUACGACCUCUUAAUAUAUUUUUUAAAAAGAUUUAAUAAACAUAUGUGAUAAAAUGUUGGAGGAAAUUAAAACAGCUCGUUGAAAGAGUUAAUCUUUCACCCUUGGUCGAUGGCUUUCAUAUCUUGUUUUGAGUGCAUUCACCUGAUACUUUACUUCCUCUUUGAUUUGAAAUGAAACAUUUUUCUUUUUAUUCCGCAACUCUUCAGUUUCUGCUUGACUGGCUUGGCAUAAGGAUAUAAAGAGAUUUUAUGCUAAACUAUGUAGUUUAGGCAUAUCAUGUUUUUUUGUUUUUUUGGUUAUUCGUUGUUUUUUUUGGUUAUUCGUUGUUUUAGGUGAGUUGAAUAUUUCAUAAUUUUUGCAGAGCAAAUAAAAAAUAAUUGAUUUAAAUGUUUAAGUGGGGGGAUCUUUUUGCAGUUGAGAGAGUGUGUAAAUUAAAAACUAAAAUUUUUAAUUCAGUAUUAGAGUAUCCAAAAUAAUUUUAAAAUACAAAUAGCCUCACCCUUCUUAAAUUAGUGAAUUCAAAGUGAUUAACAAAAUUCUAGAUUUGUUAAUCAUUGUCUCUUCCCUCUAUGUAUUUCCGACAAUCCAUAUUGUGAGCUAUUCCGAUUUAUUUUCUCUCUCUCUUCAAAAUUCUGAUGAUGAUGAGAAUUGAGAAGAUGACGAGAGACUUUUUUUUGCGGGGGGGAAGCUUAUGAAAAUGGCAAUGGAUCUCAUCUUGUGAAGUGGGAUAAGGUUGCAAGGCCUAAAACGAGAGGUGGUUUAGGAAUUGGCAAUGUGGAAAAGAAAAGUAGAGUUCUCUUAGCAAAAUGGCUUUGGAGGUUUCCCUCGGAGAGGACCUCUCUUUGGCACUCCAUUAUUCGCAGCAAGUAUCCAAAUGGAUGGGAUGAAAACAUGGUAAAGGAAAGGCUAUACCUAAAGAGUAUCCCACUUUUCUUAGUUUUUUUGCCUUAGAAGUGGGUAAUGGGAAGGCUAUUCGUUUUUGGGGAUAAGUGGAGGGGUAGUGGUUCGUUGUGUGAGAAAUUCCCCCACUCGUACAGGUUAUGCCUUUCUAGGAAUAUCUCAAUUCUCUUUAGCAUAGCUCUCUGCUCAUUAAAUUAUGAAGAAGUGAUGCAAAGAAAAUUUCUUAAUUUUUGUCUCUCUCCUUAUUGGUGUGUUCUCCUUAUUGGUGUGUCAUGUGUAAGAGAAGCGCAGAAACUUCACGUCGUAUUUUUCUUCCAGGUUCUUGUGAUUCGAUUCUUACAGAGAAUUCCUUUGUUUUGGGUAGAGGAGCAAAGGCUAAAAGUCUUUGUAAAUGUGCACUGGCAGCACUGUUUUAGAUAAUAUGGGAGGAAAGAAAUGUUCCUAUCUUUAAGGAGAAAAGUGUAGAUAAUACUGAAGAACUAUGCAAUAAAGUUCGUCUUUUUGCUUUACUUUGAACUUCAGUUUUUAAGGAGUUUCAAAAUUCUUCCUUUUUCUUCAUAUAUAUAUAAAUUGGAAUGGAAUUUUGAGAUAAGAAGUCAUACUGAUUCUAACCUUCUAUAUGGGCGAUUGAGUGUACUUUUCCACAGCACAAAUAAUGCUAGUCUUUGUUUUUUGAGCAAACGGCUGGUCCACUAUCUGUUUUGACAUCUUCAUUAUUGAUACAGUUUUGAGUUUCUCAAGGAAAAUAAUAAUAAUAAUAAUAAUAAUAAUUUUUCCACGUAGUUAGGCUUGAUGCAUAUCAAUGUGGCAAGGAAACAACUAGACUCUGGCGUUCCAAUGUCAUUUGUCACAGUUUCGAGAACCUUUUGGUUAUUGCUUCACGUAAAAGAAUAUGCAUUGGUGCCUUGGUGGAGCAAUAAAUAAACCUUUUGUGCAAGUAUGAUCCAAUUGUAAGUUGCGGAUGUCUUACGAUUUAAUUUCGCCAUUUGGCCUUCAACAAGAGAAGAUUUAACUUACUAUAUUCCAUUACCUACUGCCAUUUAGAAACCUUCAGCUGCGAUGUAGCAAUAUCCACCGAAAUAUCACAUAAAACGCCAAUCCAAAAUUGACAAUAGAAGCACCCAAAAUUACUAAAGUUGAUGACAUUUUCAAUGGUUAUCGAGAUGAAGCCUAAUUCUUUGGUUAAAGUAUAUAAGCUUAGGAUACCUCUAGGCUGUAACCAUAGUACUCAUGACCUAGGCUAAAAAUUAAAUCAUCAAAGCUUAUAAGCUCCAAGUUUUAUCAAACCUUGUUUCCCAAAAAAAAAAAAAAAUAAAAAUAAACCUUAAAUUUUCACUCACAUCUGGUGGAUUCAAGCUGGAGCUGAAAGAAAAACCAAAGCUUUGGUAAAUAGAAGCACGCAUGUCUAUCAAUGAGACAACACCUAACCCCCAAAGUAUAAUUAUGCUUUAUAAGCCCUUUUAACUCAGUGAUGAUCUAAGAAGUUCUAAACUUUCGUAACACCACAGGCUCAAUCCAUAUGGUAAAAAACGAUUCAUCUGCCGGAGAGGCACAACACCCUAAAAGAUGAUUUUAUUCCAUAAGAUCUAUUAAUUUAGAAGUAAUCCCACAAGUUCUAACUUAACGCACAUCACUACAAGCUAUGUGCAAAUAUUCAGCAGAUUUCAGCUGUAACAAGGCACCUAAUGGCUAAUGCUGUGCCUAUGUACUUUAUUGCUUUUCCAGAUUAAAUAAAAGAAAUGAAUUAUCUACCCCGAAACCAUUAUAUUACAGCCACUCUUCAGUGCCCAAUUGCUUAUCAAUAUCAAUAGCCAUGUACAAGUCUACCAAAUGUACGACAUCAAAUAGACCAAAUGAUAUUGUUUUGAAAUACAUAGCCAAAAGAAGCAUUUUCUGCAUCAUCAUAGAUCAGGAGUUUUGACGUCAAAUCAAAGGAAAAUACAUAGGCAAUUUGCAUUCAUUCCCCUUCCCCAUUUUCCCCUUGCCACCAUUAAUACACACAAAAAAAUUUCAUUAACCAAAAGUUUAUUUUGCCAGCAAUGAAUCAAGAUAGCAAUCUCAAAAAACCAGUAAUGUGAGGCUCAAAAUAAAGAAACAUUGUAUUUAUAUAAUGACUAUAUCUUUAUCCAACGGAGAAUUUAAAUAUAAUGACUGUAUCUUUAUCCAAGGGAGAAUUUAAUCUAUGUAUAAAUAAAACAGUUAUUUACACCUAUCCAAUCAACCGCAAGAGUAAAUACAUAAAAACUAAAAAUUCAUUAUUCAACAUCUGUUCUAUAGGAAGAAGAAAAGACCAAAGACAGAAUCAAACUCCAAUGAAGCUAAUCCCUAUGCUGUCAACCAACCACUGAUGAAUCACGUGAUUGACGAAAACCCAAAUACUCCACCAUCCAAUCUUCAAUCAGGAUUCAGUCCUUUACCCUCCCAUGGACCGCAACUCCUCCAAUGCAACCUUAAUCUGAUCCUGCACCAACUCCAACCGCUUUGAGUACACUUCCAACUCCAAAAUCUGCUGUUUCCUCCACUUCUCAUCCACCACCUCACUUCCUCCCCCUACUCCACUCCCACCAAACCCCACCAUCCCCAUUCCGAUCCCAGCCCCACCAAACCCCAUUGGCAUGAUGGCGUUCAUUGCCAACCCCCCAAUCCCUCUCCCACCCAUCCCUCCCAUCACAUUGCUCAGCAAUUCUCUAAACAACGGUGACAAACAACUCCUCACUGUCUCCUCCACCACCCCAGCAAUCCCACUACCACCACCGACACCACCACCGCUAUUUACAUUCAUAUUCUCACAAUUAUUCAUGGUUCCUGCACUAACAUUAUCAUUACCUCCUGCUUUUGACCUAGACCUCUUCCUAGGCCUUGGCGUAACCUUUUCCUCAUUAGCAUUUCCGCCAACAAAUCCAUAAUUAUUAUUGUAGUUACUGUUAUUAUUAUUAUUAUUCCUCAUUUCGUGACUAAUAACAAGAUGAUUAUUGCUGUUAUUAGCAUCCUCAUCAUCUAAAACACUAACAUUGGGGGUACUACUCCAAAUCUUACGAGAGAUUUCAAACGUGGCCUGAUCAUGAGCCGUUUUGAAAGAGAAAUCCUUACCUGAGGUGAUCUUAUUGAUCACGUUUCGGUACUUCUUCUUCAACCGCCUUAGCUUCUCGACCAAUUGAUUCUUGUUGAAGUCAAGCUGGAGCUUUGACUUUAUCUGGUCGUAGAACAACGCCGUGUCGUGGUGAUGCGCGUUUCCCCGCUGCGUCGUGUAGUCGAGGAACCCUUGCAACAGCUCGAUCUCAUCCUCGUCCGUCCACAGCCGUUGAAACAGACGUCUGGAUUCGUCCAAUUGCUGCGGCAACGGCUUCUUCUCCUCGUGUACGGUAACGCUUUCGGCGACACGUUGCCGUUUAGGAUCGGUCUCGUCGAUCGCGGCUGGUGGCAAAGCGAGGGUGACGGUUGCGGCAGAGGCGGAGGAGGAAGGGAAGGCAACGGUUACGGUAGGCGUUUCGGCGGCGGCGGCGGAGGGAACGGCGGCGGUGGAGGCGGAAUUGAGGUCCUCUUCGUCGUCUUCCUCUUCUUCGUCGGGUAGUACGUCGUCGUUUUCCUCCAGGUCGUCCUCUUCGGAGGAUUCCUCGUCUUCUUCGAGGUCUUGGUCUUCCUCUGGUAAAACGGUGUCGUGCUGCUCCGAGGCCAUUAAACAGAUAGAGAAAGUGAGCGAGGGGAUCUAGACAGGGAGAGAGUUAACCGAGUGGUUUGGUUUAGUUAAUUUGGUUCGACAGAAUUGGGGCUCAGCGACACUCAGGUUAUGCUUGUGGCUCACGAGAAUUGGUUUUGUUUUUCCUCUGUCAUUGCGUGUUGGAACUACGACUUGGUCUAGCAAGUGGGCCCACCGGCCUAUGUGGCAUCGAUGGUGCGCGAUAUUUUUUUAAUUUGAAAUAAGAAUUCCUCUUUUCAACUUAAUGGCCGUCUGUUUGCACUCGAGGAUAAGUUAACUCCAACUCUGGAUAGGGACUGUAAUAAAAUAACAGGGGUGGUUUUGCCACGUGGAUGAUUACGAUGAUGACGGCUCACAGAGAGUCACGCUGGUUUCCGGGUACUAUAUCCUAUGUCUGUGUGUUUUUACACGUACGAGGAAAUGAGGAAACCUAUGAACCAGCACAAGUAAAACGUUUGCCAACUGUGUCCAAGUCAGCGGUGAUGGUUAAGUGCUCCGAAUGUAAUAAUUAAAAAGAUUUAAUUAAAAGAGCGAGAGAGAGAGAGAGAGAGAGAGAGAGAGAGUCCACGUCAAUCAUUGUCUAACCAGAAAACAAUUUACCGACAGUUCGGUACUGGAUUACUGUUUUAUAAUAAUCCAGCCAAACACAGCCCGCCACAAGUAACGAACUCAAGUAAAACAAAUCCAAUUUGAAAUUAAACCAACCGUGAAUGUGAAAUCACAACCGAAACAGACAGUACAGGCAAUACAGCUAAACAACUUUAGGUUUCUGAUAUCCAGCACAUGGCAUCCACUCAACUCAAAACCAUUCAGUUCAUGAAUCUCAGAUGAGAGCUUAUCUUUGAGUGCUGAAACGAAUGACCAGUCUUAAAUCCAGAAAUUAUAAGAAAAAGUUUGUAUUGUUUAAACAUCUGGUAACUAGAAUUUAAGCUGAGAUUGAAUAAAAUACAUAGGUUACAUUCUGUCCAUUUCUCGAACACAAAUCAGCUAUUUUGCCGAUUGCUCACAAUGAAGUCGUAACAGUAUUGAAGGGGGUGAAGUUAAUUUCCUGUGAUCCUAAACCAAACUGUAGCAUAUGCGUAUUGUACAGCCAUCCUUAAUAACAAGGAAUAGAAGAUCUAAGAAAGCUAGGUUGAAAUGAGAAUUGUCCCGGUGUAAUUACAGAAACUCACCAUCCAAACUCGACUUCUCUUUGUAUGUAGUUUCCACACAGAGAUCAGACUUUUGUAGCAGAGGGAAAGGGCAGGAACAUUAACUUGCACUGUGAAAUGACAACUUGCAUUCGCCCCAAGCAUCAGGUCAGGCAUGUUUCUUGAGCCUUAUAUAACACACAUUCAAUGGAGAGCUCAAACUGCUACAGUGGGGUAUUCCAAGCACAAAACAGGAAGGGUUUGAUCAAAUCAGAAGUCAUUUUUGGUUCAAGGGAUCUGAUGUUUCAUAAGGCAGUCGUGUCUUAAUCUGAUAAACCUUCUUCACCUGCUGCUUCUCAUAAGCUCCACCAGAUGCACUUUCGUGUCCAUUAUACAUUGCAGGCUCUCCAGCUACUGCUCUGUUGAUCCAGUUAUUGGGUGGUGGUGGAAGAGGACCCAUGUUCGGCAGAAACUGCUGGCUAGGGUUCCCUGAGUAUCCAGAGUUUUGCACCCUGGAUAACAUCACAAUAGGAGGCCUGCUUCUGGUGCUUUCUUCAAUUGCCAAGGCAGACAUCCCAGUCCCCAAGUCCUGGUGUUGAAAUCUCUCCUGCAUCCUAGCGUGGUGUUGGUUUCCUUGCAUACCAUUUGAUGGGACUGGAAAUCUAGAGUUACCUCUCAUGCCUUGAGGAUAAUUGUAAUUUCCAUAAUUAUAUCUUGAUUCAUCACCAUAGCCCCUUUCAUGCCCAGAAGGUGCAGCUGGUCUCAGUCUGGUGACUGCAUUUGCAUAGUUGCCUUGGAAAUUGCGAUAUGAUGGUUGCUCGAAGAAUCCAGGAGAACCAUUAGGUUUAUAAUUAAGUGUAUUCUUGAUAAGACGAUGUGCUGCUUCUCCCAAUACAGGGCCAGCUAUGGCUCCAGGCACUUGUGGCCUGCAAAAUAGAUGCACAAUAAUCAAUCGACAGACAUCACUGCUUUGUUUUUUCCCCCCUUUUUUUUUUUAAUAAAAAGGAUGAGGCAAAAGAAAAAUGCCUAGUUACAUUCAACACAAGUUCACCUUCAAGUUAAAAACUUCCCAACACUAAACUUUAGAAACUGAUGCAAAACUUUAAUGUUGUUUUCCACCUUUUCUACUUCACACACAUUUGCUAGCAUUAUUUCUCACAAAAAUAUAGGCCGAAACCUAAUUUGAACUUUCAUCCCAAGGAUAUUGAUUAUUGAAUGCAAUAACCAAGAUGGUAAGAGAACUCAUUGUUUACCAUUGACAAAACUUGUAAAUGAAUUGUUCUUACCUCUCCCUGCCUUGCUGGCGCCGACUAUUGUCUUCAUGCCAAAGAGUAGGAAAUGGUUUAAUGUCUAUUGGUUUUAGGGUCUGCAAAGAUAAGAACAACCACAAUAAUGCUUGACCAUUUACUGAGUGAUGUUCCCACUAUUAAUGGUAUAUAAAGCAUAAACCAACCAUGAAUCAACAAAAAGAAACAAUAGACAUAGCAAUCCCAGCACCAGCAGAAAAAAAUAUGAGCUUCUGAAUUUCAACUUUUAUCCCAUAUGUAGGUAUUAUAGACCCCUUCCAAUAUUUUGUAACAGAGCACAUAUUUGCAGCUAAUGAGAAAAUCAUAACAUGUUCAUAAGAACAAAUCAAAAUACCCUUGAUGAAUGGUUACAAGAACAGAUCUUCAAACAUUAAGAAUAACAAUUACUCACAAACCAACAACAGAUGUUUCAUACUCUUUCAGAAGUUGAUAGAUUGCAGCAAUGUUGAUAUGAUAUGGACAGUGAUUUCACUUCACUUUUUAAGUUCACUGACAAGAAAUAAACUUAAAAUAUAUAUAUAUAUGAAAAUACACUGCUCACAUACCUUAGCAGGUAUGGUUGCGCCCUUGGGAGGUUCUGGGAUGUGUCUAUGUUUUUGAGGGUUAAGAUACGUAACAUUUCUGCAAAACAAUAAGAUAAACAACUACAAAAUUAGCUCUCAGAAGACAAAGAAUCAUGCAGGAAAAAACAUUAGUAAAAAAUGAAAUUUACAUGGCUUGGUUACGCUCAAUGUCUGGCAGCCCCUUGACAGGUGAAGGGAUGAUGCUUCUGAAACCAUUUCUCUCACAUAACCAAAUGUAUCCAUUCAUUCCCCCACUGAAAAAGGCCAGCAAUGAAUGAAAAGAGUAAAGCUAACUACUGGAAGUCUCAGGAUUUGAUCAUUAAACAAGAAUAUAUGCCUACCUGGUAUUUACAUCAAUUUCCCAAGCGAAUCUGUCUUGAGGAGGCAACUGAUGGUAGAGCUGGUAGUACAAAAUAAUCUGUUGAUACAAAGCAUGCUGUGGAUGAACAUAAAGUAAAUCAAGCAUCACACUAUUUCGAAACAGCUCUUCUUCCUGCAAAUUACAUUGAGAAUUACCAUAUGUAGCAUUGAAAAACAUAGAAGAAAAGGACCUUCCUGCCAAAAUCAUGGCCCAAAACUUUUUGAACUGUAGAAAUUCCCAAUAAAUCAAAGCAAUGCAACCUACUACUGCGGGUUAAGAAAUUAGAAAUAUAAAUCGAAGAAAACAGAAACCAAGAAUAAAGGCAAUGCUUUUUCUUUUAUAUUCUCUCUAUGAGAGACAAGUAUCCAAAUACCAAAUCCCUAAUUACCCCUCACUAGGACCCAAGGCCAGCGGAUUCAAGAGUAACGCUACAGAAUCAUAACAAAUUCCAUACCGUUAAAAACACCUCAAGCUUCUUUGUUUGACGCAGCAACAACUUCUCGUCAAUAAAUGGCAACUUGACAACGCCCUGUCUUGCAGCAUACAAACCAAUAAGGUUACUGUUAGUUUCACGAAAAGAAAUUCUAAGAGUGACAUAUUAUUUAUUCUGACAUUAAUAGACAAGGAUCACCUGCCAUGCAAAGCGUUUUCCAUUCAUAUCAAUCUGAAAAUCUGUUCACAGGAAUAUCCAACAAAGCUUGCUAAGGAGGUGAUUUUCAUAAAGGAAAUUGAUCAUAAAGAGUCGCUGAGAUUUUACCAGGAGGAUAGAAUUUGUAGAUAGGUGAUGAUGGAUCAGUCAUCAAAUUUCUGUAUUUUUCAGGCAAAGCACUAGAACUGUAACACGCAAGAGACAAUUUUCCCAUCAAAAGAGUUGAAUAUUAAAUAGCAGGACAUAAUCUCAAUCUUUAAUAAUUUUAUGUUAAGGAAGUAGAAAUUAUUUUUCAAAAAUAUACCUUGCAGCUGGUAGAGUUCCCAUUAGCUGAUCAAAGGGUUUAAAUGGUUCUCCCAAGAAAAACGUUAUUUCAAGGUCGGAUAAAUCUUUAAGAUCUGAAGCAAAUGGAGCAUAAUGGUAUGGAUAAAACCUGAAAAAAUAGUAGCCAGAAACAGCUUUUAACAACAAUAGGAAAGAAUCAUAAAAGAUCCCAUAUACAUUAUGAGGAAGUUGGAAAUCCUUAAUUGCAGCACUGCAUGUAGUUGAUAACAAAUGCAUGGCUCAGGGACUCACUCCUAGUAGAAACAGAGCCUUAUAUUUACUUUUCUCUCGGGUGUUUUUUCAAUUUUCGAGGGAUAAGCUAGUGUGGCAGUAGAACAUAAACCAAGGUCCACUUUUGUUUCCAUCAUUUUCCAGUCCAGUACCUUGAACGUGUUUUAUAGAGGCGUUUCAUAAUAAAUCCACACAUGCACGUAAACACAUAGAUUUAACCAAGUUUACAUUCAAACAGAAUUAGGCUUACCAUUGCCAAGAGCAAACAUCUUGAUAGUAAUAGCGGCAGACCCAGCAUAAACCUUCCACAUACUUCAAAACCUGUAAGUAUAACUUACAAUCAUCAUUUAUCUUUCAAUUGGAUACCCAAUUAAUUAAAAACCCACAAUGUGAGGAAAAACAAACUGUGUCAUGAUAUAUACCAACAUCUAGCAUCCAGAAAAACAUUUCCUAAAGAAAUCAGAGAUCAAAGACAUGCCACCAGACACAAGAUAAAGAACUUACUACAUCCUUUUUAACUUUAUCAAUCUCUUCUGGGUUUGAUAUUUCAAACUUAUCGGCAUAAUACCUUUCUUUGUAUCCGGGCUCCCCCAAUUUAACCUGAGAGAAAAAAAAAGUAUGGCUCAAUUUAGAUAGUAAUUCAGCAUGAAAACUAAAUUCCAGAUGGAUCACCUAAUCCUUGAUUAUCCUACAUUAUUUGUGAACAUUUUAUAAACAAAGAUUUUAGGUUAACUUCACAGUCUCCUUACAAUCAGAAAGAUUUUCCAAACUUAUCAGUAAAAAAAAGUAAUCUUUACAUAAUGAAGAAGUAUAUGCUUCAAAAAAUAAAAGGAAGAGACUCCCAGCAACAAUUUUUGCUUCAUUUAAAAUAUUUUAAAUGGAACGAUGAAAUUUUCUUGGCUCGAGAAUAUGCAAAAUAGUAAAACAUGUCUAAUAAGUGAUCAUCAAGGGAUUACUGACAGCACCAAUUAUGUUUAAUACAAACAGUUCAACUUCCUUGCAGAUUCAUUGUAUACACCACAAGAAAAAAUUAGAAUACAAAAACAAAUAGUUAAAUCUCAUACCGUGUCUGCGACUGCAACUGGUGCUUGUAAUAGCUCUUCAGAGGAUUCUCUUCUUGCAUUAAGUUUCAUCGCUUCAUUAUACUCGUAAGCCUGGAAAACAUCACCAUCAUAACCAUCAGCACAUUACUUAACAAUAUGAAAUUUAAUUAAACCAGAAAAGAGUCCAAAAGACCAAACUUCCACGUAUCCUUUUCUUUUGCUAAGAAACAGAAAAAAUAUUCAACAAGACUAUCAACCAUCAUAAUAACUAAACAGGAAAUAGUAACCACCAAAACCCCCCUCCCCAACCCACCCUCAACCCAAGAAUUGACAUGGCAAGCAAUGCAACAUUGAUCAAUGAGCAAAAGGUUCUUGGUGUAGACAGUCCACUAAGAACAGCCACGCUAGUUUUCCAGGAGUCCAUUUUUAUUAAGUCAUCUAGAUAAUUACCUUUUUUACCCCAGGAAACUCAUGUAGAUAGUUGUCUUUACUUUCUUUAGCAUGCAACAGUUUGGAGGGAUAUAUCAAGUGUUCAAUUGUAUAGUUACCAUAUGCCUGGAAGAACAUGUCCUGUGUUAUGACUUCAAAAGGCCUGUUACAAACAUUGAUCCUUAUAAGCUUAUAACUUCAAUCAUGGUCUUAUAAAGAACAAUGUUUCUGAUAUGUAUUGUGUGCCUUGGCCAGGUGAUUCCUACCGCAAACUCAGGGAAGUAUUCCUAAAGGCAUUUUUUCAAGCCAGGUAAGUAACAUGGAACGGUAUCAUGCAUCUUUCUUGGUGUAUUUCCCCAGGAACUCAUAUUUUGAAUUACAUUUCCAGGUUUAGCUAUCUUUUGUACUUUAGUAGAAAAAACAACUUAUUUAUUUGGGCAUUUAUGCACAUAUUUCUAUUUUCAUCCAACUAUAUACAGUAAAUACAAUCAAUGCCAUUACAAAGUGAAAAAUGACUCAGAAACAGGAGGAAGCUAACAUACCUGCUGUAUACGUGUCCUCUUCUGAAAGAUUUGAUCUUCAUAUACGGCAACGGACUGGAUAAAUUUCUCUACUCUAUCCAAUAAAACCUGAAAUUAUAAUUUGAGCUUGUUCAGUAUUUGUUACACUGGCAUCUGUGAUAGCCAAACAAAAAGGAGGAUUCAUGACAUGAAUUAAAGACUGGGAGCAAGCCUUUUUCAAACAGUACAUAAGAAUAAACAAACAGAGAGAAUGAUGCAUAGAUUUGAUGUGCCGAGUAAAACAGAGAAAUUACCUCACCCGCAUCAGUAAGAUAACCACCCAUAGCAGCAAACUCCCUUCUAUAAACAUGCAUCAACAAAUUUAUAGCACCCUGCAGAAACAGAAAAGGUCAGUUAUAUAACAAGCUACAGGAAAAUUCAGAAGUGGAAAACAAAAAAAGCAUUGGAAAAAGAAAUUGCAAUUUGUGAACGAAGUAAUGGCAUAAACAAAUAGGUGAUAUUUAAUUAAAGGAACAUUGUACGUACCUCCCUGAUUUCCAGUGUUGGCAUAUGUGGGAGGAAGUCAUUCCCAACAAAGAAACAUAGAAAUACAAAAUCAUCCACAAUUCUUUCAAAGUUUAUUGGAAAUGGUGGAUUGGGUAUGUCCAACUCAUAUUGCAAAUAUUCUCGCAGCACCCAGAUGUUUAGAAACUGUAUAAUAACUCAACCAAAAUCAGAAACAUUAGUAAGAAAAAGAAAAAGAAGGGGCAAGAGAGAAAAAAAUUGGAAACCACUCUGGCAGGAUGUCAAUUCUUGAACCUGGUAUUUCUUCUUGUGAAUUGGAGUAUCAUCCACUCCAUUCCAAUCUGCAGGAUUGUCACCUGGCUUACCAUGACACUCAGCUGCUAGAUGGCCAACUUGGCCACAAACAAAACAUUUUUCCUGUUGCCCAGGUAAAGUGAUUACCUACAGAAUCAUCAGAAGUUACUAUGAGAUCCAACAUUAGCAACAAAGAAGUAGGAACUGUGACGAGUAUUCACAAGGUGCGCAAAUAACCUCUCUCAAUAUCGAAAAGUGAAUCUCAUGUGUGGCCAAAGACAGCAUUAUUAAAUCUGCAUCCUGAUCAAAACAACCCAAAAGAGAAUCAGGGAAUAUGUAAAAUACAAAUUUUAGGAACUCAAUUAUGCAUAAAUAAGAAAACAAUCGAAAUAUGAGGGAUCACAGAAAGCCUAAAAAUUAAAUGCAACUCACCAGACCAUACAGACAAUGCCGGGUGUUUGGAUCAAAACCGGGAAGGUUACGCUGUAAUCGUAUGUAUGACAUGAUUUUGUGCUCUCCUUCGCCAGGGACAUUCGCAUCAGAAAGUAUAACCUUCAAAUAACCACCCAAUGCAGCCCCGUGAAUAAAUUUAGAGAGACAAAGUAUCCUGAAAGUCAAAAAGUAUACGGAGAAAAGAUACAGAAGGGAUUACUCCAUAGGCAAGGAAUCAUCCGAUCUUAAGGUACAAAAGUAGACAAUGACCAUUAAGACAAUGUCCAUCACACCUUUGUAAACCGCCAGCCUGGGAUUUGGUUUAACCUAGCUUGUAUAAAAUACUGAAGUGCGGCCGAAAGCACUGCCAUAAAUUGAGUGCCUGGAGUAAUAACAUUUGAAUCACAUGUUUCAGGUUUUUCUUUAGCAGAUAAGAGUUUCCCUGCUUCUUCAAAUUCCUUCCUCAGCCUUUCCUCUUCAGCUUCCUAAGAUAUCAUCACGACGAUAAACAAAAACAAUGAAUAAAUUGCUUGUAUUGACUAUAACCCACUAACAUAACAUAAGAAAAAUCUUACAGCCUCAGCAGCAUCUUUUGCAGCUCUGAAACGUCGAGUACGUUGCUGAUUCAUUUUAGCUCUAGGCGCCACCCCAUCUACAAAAAUCUGUAGUAAGCAAAUCUAAUUCUAGAGACAAGAAUAAAUAUAGAUAUCAUAUCUGAAAUAAGACUUACCAAUUGCCAAAUAGAGAAGCUUUCUCGGACGAACCAAUAAGAAAAUAUGAUCAAUGUAAUCAAAGAUAGAUUUAAAUACAUCAUCAUACGAGGUAGGGGCAGGCUACAGAAAUAGAAAAUUAUCAUCAGGGUACAGUUCACAAGCAGAAGAUCAAAAGUCAAGAGCAUAAGGAACAUGAAUAAAUACUACUGAACAUAAAACCAAAUGACAUUUAACAAUGCGUGGGGCUAUUUUAACUUAAAAUUUUGACACAAAUUAUAAGCCAUUGAUCUAAUUCAAUUGAAUGGUCGAGAUGAAGGAUGAAUUGACAUCGAUAAAUACAACUUUUGACUUUGGAUACCAAACAUUGAAUUGCAUUAGAUCCAUGACUCAAAAUUUAUGUAAAAAUCUUACUUGAAAUUUUUGAGUUAGAAUAGCCCAACCAUUUAACAAUUCCCAAUAAUUAAACCUCAAAGCAACAAGCCAGUAAAACAACAGUACAUUUUAACCAAGAUCAAUAACAAUUCCAAAAAAAAUCCAACAAUUUAAGACAGGUAUUGGCUAAUACAAAUGCAGUUAAGGUUACAGAGGCCAACAAAACACUCGUCACCAUAAAAAAAACUUCAAAUUCCAGCACUAGAUUAAAACUCUAGAACAGUAACAGAAAAUCACCUUGAAAACUCUAGCACAAUAGUUCAAAUGUCUCUAGGCAUGUCUCUCAGUCUCUUCAUGUUAAAGAGGUACUACCAAAUAAAUACCUAAUAGCAUUUAACAAUUUCCUAAUAAUUAAACCCUAAAACCAACAUCCCAUAAAUAUACCAAGAAAAAAAAAUUGACUAAAAUUAACAGCAAUUCUCGAAAAUGUAUUAGAGGCCAAAAAAAAAAAAAUCCAGCAAUUUUCAUCAAUUCAGAGCCAAGAAAGAUAAAUAAACAAAUGCAUGCAUUAAAGAAUUAUGAAAAUUCAAGCGAUAAAACUAUCGUAAGAAGCUAAUACCUUGCCAUCGGGGUGAAAACAAGGAUGAAUAAUUCCGUUCAUAUCCAAAUACAAAUUAUCGAAUUCCAUGCCGUUAGGGUUAGGUUUCGAAACGUCAACAGGUCUGGCGACUCCUUCGCCGUCAACUUGAGGAUCCUCCUCCACGACGUCAACAAUCGACAGCGGAUAGCGAUCCGCUAACCACCGGUAAAACGCCGGCACUCCCAUGGCUCAGAGUUCUUUGGUCCGGAUCCGUACGGUUCGGUUGAAAUAAUAAUUUUUUUUAAUGAAACUAAAAUUAAAUUAGAAAUUUAGAAAAUAGGAAGAUGAGUGCACUAGAGACGGAAAAUAGAAAAUGAGCUCCGUUGGAGAUCUGUGUAUGGACAGGUAAACGGUGGGCCUACGGAGGCGGCAGUAGUAGGUGGUUGACGAUUUGACGAAAAUGCCCUUGGAUUACGUGCGGACUUGAAGCGGAGUUGAAAUUACUUAAUUGUCUGAAGAAGGAAGUUGGGGAAAGUUUGACUCAAUUGAGGAAUGUUUGGACGCGAUGAUGAAUCAAUUCCAUUUCCAAUCGAGGAUGUUUGGAUACAACGAUAAGUUUACGGGUGGUAAUUGACAAGCCGCCAUAGCUAGAGAUGGCAAAAAUACCCGUCCGGUCCGGACCCGGACCGUAUCCGGGCGUUGCGGGUCAAGUAUUAUUUGGUUCGGGUAUGAAGUCGGGUCGGUCUUGGGCAUCACUUAAUAAACUCGGAACCCGGAUUUUAUUAAAAAAAAUUUAUAAAAUAUAUAUUAUUUUAAAUAUUUUAUAUUUAUUUGACUCAUUUAUUAUACAUAUAUAAAGUUUUAAACACUUAAAGUUUAUAUUUUUAUGUCAAAUUUUAUUGAAAUAAAUUUAAAACUUAUAAAAUUACCAAAAAAUAAAAAAUAUAUACACAUAAAAUAUUAAAAAACAUAAAAUUCGGGUACCCAGAUAAAACCCAAACCCAGACCGGUUGCAUCCGGGCAGGGUCUGGUCAUGGCAAUACCCGGACCCGGCCCGCGGUUUUGCCAUCUCUAGCCAUAGCACUGUAGGCUCGUUUAUUUAAUGCCUUUAAAACCUGAAAUUUUAUUAAUUUUAUAUUUUUUUUUAUUUGCUUAACUUUUUUUUUAAUUUAUUCAUGAUUUUCGGAUACUUAUAUCUGAGUAGAAAAAUAAAUUUUUAUUACUUUUAUCUAAAUAAAAAAUUUAUUAUUUUUAUCUAAAUAAAAAAAUCUGAAUGAAAAAUAAAAAUUAUAUAGUAAAAAUAUCUCUAUUAAAUAUACUUAUUUCUUAAACUAUAAAAUCUAAUUUUUUUAUUUUUUAUUCUUUAAAUAUCAAAAAAUAAAAAUAAAAAUUAUAGAACUUAUUAUUUUAUUCAAUAAUUUAAUAUUGGUGUUACAUAAAUAAAAAAAAAUUAUGAUUAAAUUAAUCUUGAAUCUUGUAAAUUCUUGUUAAUUAAAUAUGGAAAAAAAAUGUUUGGUUACAUUUUGUCGACUAGUGUUUAAAAAAGACGAAGAAAUAUAAUAGAGGUUUCCAUUUUUUUUAUCUAGUAUGGGAAAAAAAUGAAAAAGCUUUUUGGGGUGAUACAAGAACUUGAAACUCAUUAUAAUUAAAUAAUUAAGUUCAAUAAUCAGGUAUGGAGAAUUAAAUAUAUUGAUUUAAAAUAUUAAGUUUAAGGGUCUAGAUAUGUUGGAAACGCUCUAAGGCUAAACACGCCUUCAUAAUUAUACGAUAAAAGUUAUAAUAUAUUUUUUAUUAUUUAUCAAUUUGCGUAUGUGGCUAUAAUUUGUAUUUUACCUUAGAGUAACUCUAAGAUACCUAUUGCCUUAAGUCUAAUGAUCUAAGGAUUUUGUGUAAAAAGCAUCUAUAUAAGCACAAUUAUAUGACCAAUCAUAUAGAAAAUUGAGUAUUUUGUCCCAAAGAAUUCUCUUAAGUCCUCUUUUAACAAAAAAAAAAAUCAAAUGUUCCAAUUGUGUAAAGAUGAAUAAAAGGGUUUAUAUAAAAAGUAGAAUAGAAGCAUUCCAAAAUACGUUAUACUGACGGAAAGGGUUGGAUUUUUUACAACUUCAUACCAAUCAACAGAAUGAGUUGAAUUUUGAUGUAAAAAAUACUUUUCAAUAAGAUAGUUAAUACUUAAUAAUAACGCAUGGUCAAACCUUAAUCACACUUUCAAAUGAAAGAAAUCAUAAGAAAUCCCACCAAGUCUUUUGGAUCGGAACCUUAUCAUUACAGCUAAUUAAUUUAAUUAUAACUCUUAUUUCCAGCACACACAAGAAAAGGGAAAGUCAACUUUGAUUACCAUACUCUUCACAUCUUCUCGCUAAUUUAUUAUUCUUUAAUGAAUGUGCAAUUGCAUGGAAAUAUUAGUUUUUUCUUUUUUCUUUUUUCUUUUUUCUUUUUUUUGGUUAAAUAAUUACAAUCUACAAAUAUAUUACAAUUUGGAUCUAUUGUGAUUAUAAAUUCAAAUAUCUAAGACACGUUUAAGAACUCAAUAAGGAUAGUGCCCCCAAGGUCUCGCUUCAGUAAUAAAGAGCUACCACCUUUGGACUCAAAUCCUAUGUUUAAGCCUCGCUAAUGUGCAUGUAUUGAUAAGAAAAAAAGAUUGUUAGAAAAUAAAACUAACAAAAUUAGCUCGAAAAUCUACUCCUACUAGCAACAUUAAAUAUAAACAUGAUAAUAUUUUAUGAAAAGAUAAUGAACUCUCAUAUAUGCUCAAUGUUGAGAGCACCAACUCAUUGCGAGCUAAAAAAUCAAUGAUAUAUGAAAGGGUUCGAUUAUAUUAGAACCACUUUAAAGUAGAACAUCAUUUUAUAAUCACGCGAUUGAAAUUAUAAUGAGUUUUUUUUUACUGUUUAUCACUUUACGUGUAUGAUUGUGAUUCGUGCUCUACCUUAAAACAACUCCAAGGUAGUUAUAGCCUAUAUUAAAAUAUUAAUUUUGAUUUACAAAAAAAUAUGUUUUCUACAUAUUUAUUCAAUACAAUCACAAUUAAUUUGAUAUUUUAUAGGUUUAUACUAUGUGGUACACGGCGGAACCAUUCACAUGCUUAGCAGCCCCCGAAAUUUUAAAAGAUCUUAAUAUAUUAAGCCAAAACUAAAAAUUUUUAAUAUAUUAAAUUAAAAGUAAACCAAUAGGUAAUUGCCACGUAACUUUAAUAAUAUUUGUGAGUUGGUUAAUUAGUUUUAUCAAGACGACUUAACAAAUCACAAUAAGAGAAGAUGCAUUUGAGAGUGAAAUUUGAAAAUUAUAAUUAUAAUGUAGUUCGAGAACCCGGGGUUUAUAAAUUUAUCAUCUAUUUUUUAUUUAUGUUGAUGGUUGAUAUGAACUAGAAGAUCAACAAUGUAUCCACUUGUCUACUGAAUAAUUUUGUUAGUACUUACUCUUUCAAUUUCGAGUGCUACGAUCUUUUUUGGCUAUGUGCAUUGUCAAGAAUAGACUUUGCAACGAAAUGGAUAAUGAUUUUCUCACAAACACAUUGCUAACGUACAUGAAGAGAGAUAUUACCAAGAAGAUUACUAUAGAGUCAAUCAUAAAUGAGUUUUGAGAUAACAAAGGACAUACGAUUUAUUUUUUUAUAGAUGAUUGAAUUAGAUUAUACAUACUAUUAUUUAUGUACUGUGAUUAAUUCAAGAUUUGAAUGACAUUUAUUUAUUUAUUUUUUGCAAUAUUUUUUUCGUAUGCAUUUUGGCAACCCCCAAUCCAAUAGCUGUUUUUGCCCCCGUCUGUUGUUUAUUUGAAUUUUGACGGAAUUAUAUUGAUAAUGUCCGGCAUUAUUAACCCACAUAAUUACAAGACAAUAAAUAAAAAAAUUACAAUUCCAUAAUCUACGAUUACUAAUAAAUUAAAAAAAAAAUCUACUCCUAUUUUAUAUUAUUGUAAAAAAAUUAAGCGAACACGAACCCAUCAUUGAACUGGUCGAUUUUCUCAAAUGUUAUCUCUUAUAACAUUAAAAUAGAAGUUGGCUUUUCAAAUACACCAAGAGUCACAUAAAUAUACAUUGAACUGCUAGGCUGCUAACACUGCGACAUGUCUUAUCCAGUAGCUCAAUUAGUAAUUGGCUUCUUGUAGAAAUAUAUAUAAUAUAAGAGUGAUAAUAUAAUCAUAAAUUUUUGUAUAAAUUUAUCUUAUAUAAAUUAAUGUAAUAUUAAUUUAUUGGUUGAAUGAAAAUAUAAAAUAAUAAAAAUAAAUUAUGUAGGUAAAAAAUAUUUAAUUCAACUAAUUUUAUUAUAUCACAUCAAUUUAUAUAAAAUAAAUUUAAACAUUAAAAAAUUUAUUUCUAACAUACUUUUCAUUUUAAAUUAUAUAUUCCUAUUUUCAGAAAUCUCUUGAACAAGAUAAGGAAUUUCUCUCUGACCGGAAAGCUCACCUUUCAUCCACUAUCAUGUUUAUCAGAAGCUGAUCUCCAACAAAAAUUUUCCAAAUGGGCUUUCAUAAUAUAUAUAUAUAUAUAUAGUGCAACUGUAGUAUCGUGUCACAGUUAUAUCGAAUCAUUGGAUGCACUUAAAUAAGUGAGAUUCACGAACAUCCAACGGUUGGAUGCAACUGUGACACAGUACCAUAAUUACACUAUAGCUAUAUAUAUAUAUAUAUAUAUGUGUGUGUGUAUGUAUGUAUGUAUAACACAAAGAUGACCCAUUAAAAAAUAAAAGUCAAGAAAGCAACUUUCAGAUAUUGAAUAAAAGUAUAAAAUCAAGUAACCAGGCAUGUUUAUUUAUUUAUUCAUUUUUAUUUUUUGUUUUGUUCUAUAUUUCUCAUUUGGCCGCCUGAAGAAUAUUUAUAUAAGCAAAAUCAUCGUAACGCAUAAACAUAAUUAUUAUCAGGAGAUUUAUUUGUUUUUCAAUUUUCUACUGUUUUCCAGCUGCCUUGACAUUGUUUACGAUUCUUCCCAGAGAAAGCUUUCACGUUCGCUUGGUAAGUAGUUGAAGCUUCAGACUAUCUCUUUGUCGUUUCAUAAAUCCCAGCUAUUCGUUUAAAGUCAGCUUUUUAUUUUCAUUUUUUUGGGUUCUGCCCAGAUAAGAUUUUCUAUGUAAGCUAUUAAAGUUUCGGUUUUUAUCUCCAUUGCUUCAAGAUUUUGUACUUGAAAUCUCGAGUUUGACGUUUGUGUAUUAUUUUGUUAUCUGGGUGGGUUUAUAUCACUCAAAAGUUUUAAUCUUUCUUCAGUUUUGUUGAGUGUUUUCUAUUGGGGGCUAAUCUUAGUUUAGUUGAAAAUCUCUAGGUUUUUCUUCAAUGGCAAAAAGAAAAAAAAAAGAAGUUAUCGUGUUCAUUUUCUCGGCUACCAAAAUGGUUUUUUCAUUUAAGUUUUGAAGUUUGAAUGAAUCAACUACUGUUUGGAUACCGUUACAUGUUGUUGUUUUCUCUGAUCCAUUCUCUUUUAAAUGCUUCUGCAGUAACUUGAAAAAAAGAAAAAAAAAUGGUGGAGGAGAAGUCCGUGAUUGCGAAAGAUGUCACUGAAGUAAGCUGUUCUCAUUACCAUUUUUGUAAUCAUGAUUGUUUGCUGGGUUGAAGAUGUUUUGGUUUUGCUCAUAUUGUGUUUCCUUUUCUGGUUGACUUUUGUAGUUGAUUGGUAAAACACCAUUGGUGUAUCUCAACCGCAUUGUGGAUGGUUGCGUUGCUAGAAUUGCUGCCAAGCUGGAGAUGAUGGAACCCUGCUCUAGCGUCAAAGAUAGGUAUUAGUUACAUUUACUUUGUUCUGCAUGAAUAGAAUAUGAAGUAAGAUAUUUGCAGUAAGUUUGACCAUAUUCAUAAUAUUAGUAGGCUGUAGUUGGUUGCAUAGAGUCCUGAUAUAGUUUCUGACAGAUCCAAGAUUAUUGAGUAUAUCAUAUAUUGUUAUUCAAGGAUUUUGGUCAUGCAAAAUGUCAUCCUUGACAAGAUUAUAUGUCUGUAUUCUUAAUAUUGUCUAUAAUAAAAUUUGGAUUUCUUUAAUAUUGACUUGGGAUUGGCUUAGUAGAUAUGAUAUGCUCAUUUUUUGAGUGCUUGCAGAAUUGGAUACAGUAUGAUCGCUGAUGCAGAGGAGAAGGGUCUCAUUAGACCAGGCGAGGUCAGUGAUUCAAUCAUUCUUGUUCAGUCAGAGUUUAUGAAUGCUUGUGCUGAUCUGUAACUUUUAUAUAUAGUCCACCACCUUCUAUCUGUUUCGAUAUAUUAUUCUUUUAAUAUUGAUAAUUUGGUGAUUAUAGUACUGUAACUCCGGUUGGGUAGUAGAAGAUGCUUUAGAAUGACAAGAAAGCUUUCAUUUUGACAAAAAAAUUGUUGAUUCUUAUGUGGUUCAGAGUGUCCUGAUUGAGCCUACCAGCGGUAAUACUGGCAUAGGGUUGGCAUUCAUGGCAGCUGCUAAGGGUUACAGACUUAUAAUUACCAUGCCUGCUUCAAUGAGUCUUGAAAGAAGAAUGGUUCUCCUAGCUUUUGGAGCUGAGCUUGUGCUCACUGAUCCUGCCAGGGGCAUGAAGGGAGCUGUUCAGAAGGCAGAAGAGAUAAGGGACAAGACACCGAAUUCCUAUGUCCUUCAGCAGUUUGAAAACCCAGCAAACCCAAAGGUAACAUUUGAAUCAGUUAUUUAAUAAUUUUAAAAUAUUUCCUGUAUACGUCAAUUACUUGUUGGAAAGAUUUGCAAUCUAAUUUUUCUUACUUUUAGAUCCACUACGAGACUACCGGACCAGAGAUCUGGAAAGGCACCGGUGGUAAGAUUGAUGCCCUUGUUUCUGGUAUAGGGACUGGUGGUACUGUCACUGGUGCAGGGAAGUAUCUCAAAGAGCAUAAUCCUGAAAUUAAGGUCAGCUUUUUCUGUUCAUGAUUUAGAUGGAAAAGUUGUUAAGAUUAAAUUUGUUGAUUGUGUUUGCCUUUGUUCUGGUUUCUGAUGUUGCUGUUUCCGUCUCUGUUUUGUGUUCAGCUCUAUGGCGUUGAACCAGUUGAAAGUGCUGUGCUGUCUGGAGGGAAACCUGGUGGGUUAUGAUAUUUGACAAGUUUAUUUGAAGUUUUCUUGCUCAUUUGUUAUAUUUGCUUAGUUGCAAUUGCACGUUCUACAUAAAUAUUCUACCGUAGUAGGGAUUAUUUUUUACAAAGAAAAAAAAAUGGAGUUAAUUAACUGCAGCAUGUUUGGUGCCAUCCCACAACGAUGAGUCUAUGCCUAUUAGUAUUCCUGUAAUAUUAAAGCCCUUCUAUCAAUGUUGCUUGUAUUUGUCUAAAGUGAACAAUAUCUUGUUAAUUCUUGUGCUAAUGCGAUGAAUUACAUGCUUUUAAAUGUGUAAGGUCCCCAUAAGAUCCAAGGAAUAGGUGCUGGCUUCAUCCCUGGAGUUUUGGACGUCAAUUUACUAGAUGAAACUGUUCAAGUAAGCCUCAAAGCUUCUGACAUGAUAGGUCUUUCAUUCAGCAUGUGAACCUAUACAUCUGUUAAAUAUAAGUGCUAUCAUUACUUUAUCCAGUUGCCGUUGGUAAAGCACAUACAAUGAGAAACCAUGUAAACAAAUGUAUUUGCCUUGCAAUAAUUUAAUGGACCUUGUUCUCAACAGUAACAUGGUAGCAUUUCUGGCCUCACUGGGGGGGCUGUCAAAUUACUUUGAAUGCCUAUAAGCUUGGGACAGGAUUGCUUUUUAAUGGUUCAUUUAAUUUGUACGGAAAGUAUCAGAACAUCUAGUAAAAAAUCUAUGGUUAGAUAUCCUUUGGUGGGAGAUCCAGUAGUAGUCUUUAAGUCUUUCUAUGAGGGUGUUGCAUAGAUGCACAAAUUACCUAGUGCUACAACGAUUAAGUCAGAGACAGUGGGAGUUAUCUGAGAUUUUAAGAGAUUUUAAAAUCUGUAACCUCUUGAAUGACAGACAGUAUAUAAUUCUGAUAGUUAUGAAUUAUUCUUCUUUCCUCUUUCUGUGAAUCCAUUUCAAUUUUUUUUAAUCACUAUGGUGUAAAGUUAACAAAUCAUAGCAAAAACUGAACCAUGAUAACUUCAUGCCUUUGCAGAUAUCAAGUGAAGAAGCUAUUGAGACUGCGAAGCUUCUUGCACUUAAAGAAGGAUUGUUGGUAAGUCUGAGUUUUCUAAGCUGUUUCAAUAAGGGAACCUUUGAGAUUUUGACAUUUUGUCAUCACUUCAAAUCUUAUCGUAGCAUUUGUUAGUUUGUGAUUGUGACUUCAGAGUUCUUUUUGCUUUUCUGUGAGUUUUGUGCUAAUCUGAGCAUACGUAUUGCAGGUUGGGAUAUCAUCCGGAGCUGCUACUGCAGCUGCAAUUCGGAUAGCAAAGAGGCCAGAAAAUGCUGGAAAACUCAUUGUGGUAAGUUUAACAAUCUCACUAAUCCUUGUAUACUUAAACACACCGUUUUGGUUAUUGUUAUUAGUCCGGAUAUCCAAAUAAAUGCUUAGUUGGCAUAAUCAUUUGGUCAAGCAACAAAUAAGCUUGCUAAUCUGUGUAAUUUGAACCCUUAACAGGUGGUCUUCCCCAGCUUCGGAGAGCGAUACCUCUCUUCUGUUUUAUUUGAAUCUGUGAAAAAGGAGGCAGAGAGCAUGGUGUUUGAGCCGUGAGAUAUGCCCAAACCUUUUGAGUCACCAGUCCCGUAUUCUGUGGGGACUAACUUGCUUUUCUAGUCAGAAUUUCAUUUUGGUUGGAUGCUUUGGCUUCUUCAUGUUUUCUUAUAAACAACUACAAAUCUUUGCAAUUCCUUACCCUCUGGAGGAGGUUUCACUGUUUGUGUAAAAAUCUGUGGAAACUCAUAUGGGUUAAAGUUCUGUAGUCUAUGCUGUGCUUGAGAAUGAAUAAAGUUUGGAAGUAGGUGUUGUAGAGAAUAGUUUUAUAAUCUUUAUUUAUUUAGGAAUCACUAAAUCAAUAAUCACGAGGGAAACUUAGAAACGAAAACAGUAAAUCCAUGGCUUGGGAAUGACAUGUCAAUACAAGAUCUUGGAAUGAAAGGUUAUUCUGCUCUUCAAUCACAGCCGCAAGUACUCAUACGCCUUUGGAUGACAGUGUCUUAUAUGUAAGACUGUGUCACAGCCGCGACAAAAUUUUGGUGGUCGUUCAUAAUUUGUCACAUUCAGUAUUAUUUAUGUAUUAAUUUAUGGUGUCUAACAGAAAAUUUGUGAAGCUCAAUGGAUAAAUUAGGUGUUGCUGGGGGCGUCGUCGGAACUAACACCUUACUGACACAUCAUACAAAUGUCCCUCCAGUUACAUGCACUAGUCAACGUAAAUACAUAUUAUUAUCCAGUUACAAACACUCGUCAAUGUAAAUACAUGACACGUGGUAAUCGUAAAAGCGGUCGCCGUAGUAUUACCAACACUAUUAGGCAAUUAUUGAUAAGUUUCAGAAGCGAGUUGCGAGGGGAUUGCGCGAACGCAGUCCCCACUACCACAAAUUAUGACGUACAGUCUCCUCAGAGGGAGAUGUUAGGCUAGUGCACAUCCCUUGAGUGCAAUGGAAGCCACAAGCCUAGGCCAUGGGCCUUCUUGAUCACCCAUCGACCCCGUCCAGGUAUGUAAUUUUGCACCAGAUGCCUUUCAUUGUAUUUAUAUUCUAGUGCCCACAUCGCUUGUCUAUACUUUCUCAAUGUGGGAUAAAAUUACCAGCACUGCUGCUUGUACUAGCAGAAGCUAUUUUCACUUCUCAAACUAGAGUACAGUGCAAGAUUAUCAUUAUCUAUAUUUUAGUUUUUAUAACGAUUUAUUCAGGAUGAAUUUGGAAGUGUUUCUUCUGAAAUGCGCGAGCUUAAUUGCGGGUGAAGGAAAUUUCUGGUAAUGCAUCGUAGGGUAUUUUAUAAUUGCUUUCAAAAAGUGUAAUCGAAAGUGCUUCGUGGAGAACAAUCUAUAGAUACUUUUUCUAUAGCUCAUCGUACUUCCAAAAUGUUCUGUUUAUAUGAAAAGAUGAAUUUUCUAUUCACUCAAAUAUUAGUUGGAAAGUGUUUUUGAUGAUGAAAAAAGCACUUCCUACAUGUAUUCUUAAGUCUUAACCAAUAAAUAAAGGUAUAUCUUCUUGAAGAAAGUCAACACAAAUUCACAAAUCAGCAUUUUGUUUAAAGUUCAGGCUGAGGACAGAAAGAUAAGCCUGAGGUUUUACGCCUUUAGCAACACAGAUUCAAACUAAAAAUAUCUCUUGUACAAGUGCUUUUGGACAUGGCUUUCAAUAAUUUAAUUGGAUACUGAAUGGGGUGGUGAUUAUGAGACUACGGGACUAGAUAUUUUAAGUACAUUGACUUUCAAUUGCGAGGCCAACUAAGUAAGCCCCUCGACAAUUACAAGAAAACUAUAGUCAGUGUAUGCACAAUGUAAUCUUGUCUGCUCGGAGUAUGUAUAGGUUGCAAAGUACAACAAUGUGAUACACAAGUCAUCACAGAAAUUUUAAUCUGGGAAUUUUACUCAUUAUGUUUUUCAUUUUUUGACACUCUAGGAUUGCAUGUAGUAUGAUCAAAGAUGCAGAAGAUAAAGGCUCGAUAUCUCCUGGAAAGGUAUACGCCAAGGAAAUUUCCCUUGUCUGUAUUUGAAAUGCUAGAACUUCUCAAUUAUUUGUGUUGACUUACAAAUUUCCUUCUAUUCAUUUUCAAAUGAUAUUAGCAAUACAAUGUUCUCGUUGAGAUCACCAGUGCUAAUGCUGGCAUUGGAUUGGCAUCCAUUGCAUCAUCAAGGGGCUACAAAAUUAUAGUUAAAAUGCCAAACACAUAUAGUAUUCAGAGAAGAAUGAGGUUCAUAUAACAGAUGCAGAAAGGGGCUAUAAGGCAGUUGUUGAAAAGGCUGAGGAGACAAUUAAGUAAAAUACCGAAUGCUUAUCUGCUUCAGCAACGUGAAAAUCCUGCCAAUCCAAAGGUAUUCCUUUUGUUAUCUUGUAGCAUGCAUGUUUUCAGGUUGAAAAUGAUUUCUGAUUCUCUUUUUUAAUAAACCGUGUAAAUCCAUUAUGAAACCACUGGUCCAGAGAUAUGGAAAGAUUCAGGAGGAAAAUUUGACGCCCUAGUUGCAGGUAUUAGGAUUGGUGGGACAAUAACUGGAGCCGAAAAAUUCCUGAAAGAGAAAAACCUAGAGAUAAAGGUUGUUUUCUUUGUCCUUGUGCAAUAUUUGUGUUGUGAAAGUUUAUUUUAACAGUAGCCUUGUUUCUGCGCAGGUUUAUGGUAUAGAAUCUGUAGAAAGUGCAGUCUUGAAUGGUGGAAAGCCUGGUGAGUUACAAUCUCAAUACAUGGCCUUAAUUAUGAUGCAGUAUCGGUUAACUUGAAGAUUUUGCAUUAUAUGCAUUUUCACAGGCCUACAUCUAAUCCAAGGAAUUGGUACUGGUAUCAUCCCCACUGUCUUGGAUAUCAAAAUGCUCGAUGAAGUUAAAAGUCUAAAAACCAUGUCAUUAAGCAUCUGUUUUGAAUUGUUAUGCAUGUGACCGAGACUGCCAAGCUUUGUUCAAGUCAAGUCCCAAAACCAUGUCAUUAAGCAUCUGUUUUGUUAUGCCAUGUGGUGACCGAGACUACCAAGCGUCUCGCCUUGAAAGGAGGUUUGCUGGUUAGCAAAUGGAGUCCUGAACUGGCUGCUGCUUUUGAAGUAUGGAAGGAUUUGACGCAGUGGAUACUUUGUAAUUCAGUAAUUAUUAGUUGAAUUUCAAUUUAACUCGGCCCAAUCUUUUACAAAAAGGAUUGAGCCGAACCCAACGAUUGUACACCAUAAUCUAAAAUCCUUCUUUCAAGAAGAGGUAUAAUAUUUUCUCCUCAGUUAGCGAUUAAAAAAUAAGAAGUCAUUCUUCCAAAAAAGAGUCCCAUGCAAGAAACUCACCGAGCAAGCAACAUAGAAAUUAAUUCCGGAACGUUUUCAAAGGAGAAUUGGGAGGGGGCCGCGCGAACGCAGGCCCCCGCUGCCACAAAUUAUGACGUAGGCUCAGCCACUAUGGGCUGACCUUAGGUGGGUGCAUCUCCCACGUGCAAUGGAGACCACCAACCUAGGCCAUGGGCCUGUUUGAUCGCCCAUCGACCCCGUCCAGGUAAGUAAGUUUCCAGGUUGAUCAUAGCUCCUUAUUUAUAAGAGCUUGUCUGCUUCUCUCGCCUUGUGUCACCGAUGUGGGAUAUUCUAUAAAGGAAGGGAUUAGGAAGAGAAUCGAAUUAUGUAACAUCAAUGUAAGACAUUGUGAAGCUGAAGCCUUAAUUAGAUACUUUGUUAAAGAGACUGGGAUUAGGAUGAGAAUCGAAUUAUGUAACAUCAAUGUAAGACAUUGUGAAGCUGAAGCCUUAAUUAGAUACUUUGUUAAAGAGACUUCCUGUGCAACAACACAAUCACAUUAAAAUUUUCUUCUUCCUCCCCCCCCUCCAGCUUUAGUAAUCUGGUUACUUUAAGACAAUAUCCACAUAAUUGUAUAUUUAGAUUGAUCGUCGGAGGCUGGUUAAGUGUAUCAGUUACAAAAACAAUUUUUGAUGGUUCAUACCCUCUGCGCCGAUUGAAUGUUAAAUAUUUCUUCGGUUACAGCUCAAUUGACAUUCACUAAUCACUCUUUACAAUUAACGUAUCCGCUUUCUUCGGUUCACUUCACAUGUCAGAUUUAUUAAGGGUUUGAUAGUUAAUUACUAGAACCCUUGACAAACACAGGCAGUACAAAUCCAUAUUUACUUGGUAUAUCAGUCUUAACAAGAGUAUCCAAGAGUUUUUGAUCCAGGACAAAAGCCGGAUGCAAGAUGGUAAGAGAGGUUUCAUUGCAUACCACGGACAACGUCGAGAAAGCACAGUCUGGCAUUACGUUGCUGCUAAUUACUUUGUUUGUUACAUACGAGUUCAUAAUCCAAACUUGCAAAAUCAACGUUUUCGACCGCUAGUUGAUAGGGGGCCGCGCGAACGCAGGCCCCCACUGCCACAAAUUAUGACGUAGGCUCAGCCACUUUGGGCUGACCUUAGGCGGGUGCACCUCCCAAAACCACUUUGGGUUGACCUUAGGCGGGUGCACCUCCCAAGUGCAAUGGAGGCCACCAACCUAGGCCAUGGGCCUUCAUGAUCGCCCAUUGACCCCGUCCAGGUAAGUAUGUCUACACUUCCUUCGCAGUCCCUAGUUAUACAAGCUUGCUUGCAUCUCUCGGUUGUGCUCUUUCAAUGUGGGAUAACGUUAGCAAAACAAGGGAUUACUAAUGGAAAUCAGAAACUACUAAAAGUACUGGACAUUGAUUCCUUAAUUUGAGUAGUUUAAUGGUGAUCUAGUCAACAUACACUAGUACGUUCAUUGAUAAAAUGGUUGAAAUGAUACUAUAUUUGAUUGGAGAUUGCGUGUCAACAACUCUAGCCAUCGUCCUAAAUGGUUGAAUCUACCAAAUGAACGUAAAACAUCUGCCGUGUCCGGAAGUUUUUUAUUGUUUAAUAGCUAAUUGCUUUUGAGUUAUGAUAUCACCAGUUGUUCAAAUCCAUGUUCAUAAUAUUUAGGCUUCUGUUUGCUAAAUUUGCUGCUUGAUGUUCUUGGUGUUAAAACCACACUGCAAUCAAAAGAAAGAAAAUGUCACUAAAGUAAAUUUUCUUCACAAGAUUUGAGCUCUCUCUCGCCUUACCUAAAGUAAAUUUUCUUCACAGGAUUUGAGCUCUCUCUUGCCUUACCUCUUAACUGCAGUAAUCUUGCUUAUGAAUGCAGGUAUGUUUUAACUUGUUCAGUUAAUAGGCAAUACACCAAUGGUGUAUCUCAACAAUAUUUUUGACGGAUCUGUAACGCAUAUUGCUGCCAAGCUAGAAAAAUCUAGUCUAUUUCACCAUCUUCUAUCAUAUUUUGCUCUGCAUAAAACUGCUGUUCAAUUUAUAUUUUAAUCUGUACUAAACUGCAGUAACAAUGUAAACCUUUUCUUUGGCUUGAAGAAUAGCGUUAUCUAUCCACGGUUCCCCUUGAAUCAAUUAGACAUGAGGCAGAAAACAUGACCAUUGAUUUAGAUAUAAUACUCAAGUUUAGAAAGUACAAUACAAGCAUCGUUUCUGCUCACUGGAGGCCUAAAUUAAGAACAAACUUCCAUUUAUUUUGUUCUUUGUCUUAGUAGAUGCUGCUGCUGCUGCACAAAUUUGGUUUAAAGCUCUGCUUCGAAAACCAUGUCUUUAUUAUGAAGUUACUAAAUUGGCUUCAUUCUAAAAUAUUUACAAGAUCAAUAACGUUUCCUGAUUGAUUUACACUGCCUGCUGCUGCAAUAUGUAUUAGGCAAGCAUCUGAACUAGGGUCUUGACAUUGGUAUCAUGCCCAUUGUUUUGGAUAUUGACUUGGUACUUGUUAAACUUAUCACGUUGUUUUAAAAUCAUACUGCGAGUUAUGUACUUUUGGACUGGCAUGUAACAUAUUGAUCUGCGUCGGUUGGUUAGGCCAAAAGCAAUGGCAAGCCUCUCUCUAGUGUCAGAAAGUGCCUCAACUUUUGUCUCCUCUUGAGUAUCAUGAAAGCACAGAACCUGUCAUGAGAAUAUAACCUACCUCAUAAUCUUUUCAUUAGAGUAGCUAACUCAAGUGCAAAAUAAAUGAUAUCAGAUUAAGGACGAUACGUGUCUCCUACCCUGAAAUCGUAAACAACAUUAGUGGACUCAAUCAGACAAAAUUGGCUCCUUUGCCAGACAUUAGCAACAUAGAUAUUUGAGAGUAAAACAUGGUAGUUAGCAUUUAAGGGAUGCAGCUGAAAAAACUGUCUGCAGUUCUCCGGCUAUAUUUAAGUUACUACCAUAAAUUGGGCAUGCACCCAGGCAAAGAUCUCAAUUUACUUGCAUCAGGUUCCACUCAUCCAGCGGCAUACUCACAAGUAGUUUCUCUGCUCCAGAAAGUUGUCCUCAAACCAGGUAUACAUGCCAUACACAGGGUAAUUGUUAAGUUUCUGUGCAAUCCUCAACUACUUCCAUUGAUUCAAAACAACUCUUGCUACCUUCCAGUAACCAAAAAUGACUGCAAGCUGGUAGAACACAAGUGAAUGGUAUAUAAUUUGACCUCACCCCAGCUUCUACCGAGUUAUCAAAGAGAUCAAUGGCCUCCCUUCCUUGCCCCGUGAAAUCCGUAGCUAGCAAUCAUAGCACUCCAAUAAAAGACAUAUUUGCCUUCACCCAGUUAUGAAACCACUCAGCUUUUCUCAAUGCUCCAAGUUUGCCUCAAGUACAAUCAAAAUACUGAUCCUAUUUGGCUUUAUCCCUGAAUAAUGCAUCAUAUUAAAAGAAGCUGAUGUCUCACCUUUAUAUACAUUGUGACAAUACCGAGAAACUCCGUCAAACUAAAUCAGACAUUUUAUCGAACACCAAAAUGUCCAUCCUCGACAUCUGAUUAGUACCCACAAAACCCAGAAAUCAUCAACUUCAUAGGACCACAUCACACAGCCCUUUUACCAAACACCAAACGUGCAUAUUCGACAUUUGAGCUCAACUCUCAAAGUAAAGCGUAUAGUCAAGUAAAGCAGACGGAAGUUGGAAAGUGACUAAGCUGCAAAUUCAACAUCAAUUUAUCGUAUUACAAGAAAAAAAAAUUUAUAUAAUAUAAUCUUCCCCGUAGCUAAUAGAGUAAAGCUUUAAACUUAAUUUGUUGGGAGCAUUUCCAAAGAAAUGCACCUCCAAAAAUUUGCGUAUGCCGCGUGAAGCGGCGAGCACACGGUAUUCUUUAGUAAAAGGCGAAAGAAUAGUUCGCUCUGUGCUCACCGCACGGCUCCGUGAAUAUUAAUGAUUGUAAGGAGUUUGUUUUUGUAUUGGGAGGUGCUUACUGCUAAAGCUCUCGCUCUCGAUGUGGGAAUAACUGAACCAGGCGUUUUGAACUCUUUAAACGAUUGUUAGUUAGGUACACAUUCCAACUUCGAUUCUGAACUUAACCAGCUUCAUUUUUUUGCUCAAACUGAAAGAUUAUCAUUAUCAAGUGCAUUUCGUUAUCUAAACAUACAUUUGAAGGUUUCGAAAUACUUUAAUAAACAUGUGGAAAUAUCAAUUGUUAACAUGGCUUUACCUAUUUUCUACGACAGAUCAUCUGUUCAAGCAAGGUCGCGUCCUUCAAUCAGUGCAUUGGGUAAUGAAUAUAAUUGUAAGAGACUAGUUCAAACAAUGAUUCCUCAUUUUUCUUCCUGCUUUUAAAAUUUGGUUUGUAGUUGAGCCCCCCACAGUCACUAUGGACUGACCAUAGAUGGGCGCCCCUCAUAAGUGCAGUAGAAGCCACCAAGCUAGGCAAUAGACCUUCUUGAUCACCCAUUGACACAGUCCAAGUAAGCAUGUUCGAUAGUUUGCUUUUAGCUUCUUAUCUCUACUGUUGUGAUUACCAUGUAUCACCUUGUGCUUGAUAUACUUUAAGCUGUUACUUCUUAGUCUUCUAAUUCAUUACAAAAUAAAAUAUAAGAAGCAGUCUAGGCUGACCAUGGAAAAUGUAGUAAUAUGAAAAUUUUUGCGGAUAAUUUUAAAAAGGUUUGAUUAUUAAAUGGUGUAACACUGCAAAUUUUCAGAUAUUUACUUAAUAAAUAAUGUUAUCUCAUCCCUGAAAGUUUUGUAAUGUGAAGAAAAAGUUCCAUUACCAGUUUAGUACAAUUGUCUAGUCAAAUCUUCUUAUCCUCGUUCUUGUGCUGGGUAAAUUAAUCUUAUUUGUUAGCUGUUACUUUGUAGUUUUUGUUGAAGCAUAUUGCUUUUGUAUUAUUGGACUAUUUUUCCUAACUGGGAUUGUAAUUUUGUGAAUUUGUUCCUUCUUGUGGGUGAUUUAGGGUGUCUGGACUUUGGUUAGCUCCUUUGAGCGUUGUGUCUUACUUCGGACGUAACAAAUUGCCUUGAAUUUUUUGUUAACUAACCAAAGCCCAAAGGCAAAAGAAACUGCCUUUCAGAGUUUGGUACUAAGUGCUGUCCCAGUAUAUUUUUUAACUCCUGAUCUUGAGGAAGUGCUAUAACUGUUCAAUAAUCUCUGCUGUCGCGGCACAUGCUAGGUUGGCUCCAUGAUAUUUGAUGGUGUUUGAAGAAGUAGCUCAUGGAGGUCAAGUGUGCAAUAAAGAAAGAUGUCACUGAAAUAAGUUUCUUCGCAAUAACUUAGGCUUUCUAUCCUGCAUUUUCUCUUGAACAACUAUAGACUUGCUAACAAAAGUGGGUGUGUGUGAACUUGUUCAGUUAAUAGGCAAUGCACUGAUGGUGUAUCUCAACCAUGUUGUGGAUGGUUGCGUAGCACGUAUUGCUGCCAAGCUAGAAAUGAUGGAACCUUGCUCUAGUGUCAAAGAAACAACUUUAUUAACCCUUCUUUUUAAUCCUUAAUGGAUUGUACAUUUCUUCAUACGUAUCACAAUGCUAAUUUUGUUUAUAAUGUUUGACAUGGAGGAUUGCGUUUAGGAUGAUCAAAGAUGCCGAGGACAAGGGCUUAAUUACCCCAGGAAAGGUAUGCAAUCCAAAUAUAAUUCUCCAUUUUGAAUUUGAUUUCUUAGACUUUCAGUGUAUAUCCGAUAGAGUUACCAUGCUCAAAUUGAUAGUUUAUAUCUAUGAUAAUAUGACAAUAUAACUAGCGCACAUUGUGGAACUUCUGAACUAACCAACUUCCCUUCUGGAUGUUUUUAAAGUCUAUCCUGAUUGAGAUAACAAGCAGUAACACCGGCAUAGGAUUGGCCUUCAUUUCUGCAGUGAGGAUUGCUGCAGUGAGGGGUUACAAAAGUUAUCAUUGUCCUACGCGGCAUCUUCGUAACUAACUAACUUGAGACGGAUAUAUCCACUACUGGUUGCCACAUCAACACUCUUGCAACAUCAGCAUUAGUAGUAUUAACUGAAUUUCGAAGCAUUUCUUACAGUUUUCUCUUUAGACCAUUCUGAAUAUGUUGUACUGUCACAUGUUGUUAUGGGCAAACAUCUGAUUCAAGGUAUCGGUACUGUUAUGAUCAUACUGUUCUGGAUGUUGACAUACUUGAUGAAGUUGUCAACAGUAAGUCUUGAAAACGUUUUCGUUUGAAUGUCGUUUAUUUUGAAUUCGUACAUUGAUUAUGCUAGCUAGCUGCCAUGAAUAUUGUUUCCAAGUAUCAAGUGAGGAAGCCAUUGAAACCGCUCAGCAGCUUGCCCAUAAAGAAGGGUUGCUGGUAUGUACAAUAUAUGUAUGUGUUCACAAUUUUCAACUAUUGCUUUUAUUUAGUUCUUCCCUUCUCUUGUGCCAGGUGGGAAUAUCUUCUGAUGCUGCCGCUGCAGCUUCAAUCAAGGUAGCAAAGAUCCCCGAAAAUGAUCGGAUACUCAUCGUUGUAAGUUUGAUUUCAUAUAAAUUGUAUUUCAGUUUCUGUAUUAACAGUUUGGUCAAUCAAAGUCCAUGUCCAUUCUGCUCUCUCCACGAAGCAUGCCACCAAUUUCUUCUUCCAAGUGGUGGAGAGCGUUACCUAUCCACAGAACUGUUUGAUUCUAUCACGCACGAGGCAGAAACAUGUCUGUUGAUUCAAGUGUCAUUCAAAUAGUACAAGUGUACAACUAAUCAAAUAAUCAACAGAGAAUGCCAUUUUCUUUAACUUUUAUAGAAGUCAUUGUUUUCCCAAUUGUGUUAUCAUAAAACUUUGACCAAACAAAAAUAUUUGAAAUUAAUAUCAAGUUGUGGGAUUAUUGCUGACGUGAUGAUAAGGUGAUGAAGGUGAUUUUAAGAUAAUAAAAUUAAUGUGACCACUACUUAUUCGACUAAAGGAGCCGCUGCUCCGUCAAGUGGCAGAGAUGAAUUUUGGACACGCACACAACCAGAUCAAUGAGAAAAAACGACAGUGAUGUUGAGUGAGCUAAUAAUGGCUGCUUAAUUUUCAAUUUGCUGGUUCGCAUGCUACCAGUCAAUAUGCGGCUUAGCUUAUCCGCAUUUUAUUCAUUCAUUAGCCGACCAAGCUAAGAGAGUGGCCAGUGCGGGCCUUGCGUGGCUCAUGCAUUCUUAUUGCGCAUGCUAAUGUUAUGAGUGUCUCUAAUAUAAAAACUAAAUUAUUCUUUUUAGUGUUUGAAAGAAAAUAAAUAAAUAAAUGUAUACCAAGAGUUUGAUUGGCUUGAGAAUUUUUAUAUUUGUAAAAAGAAAAAUAGCAGAUAAUUUUUUUAUAUUCUCAACUUUUGAUACAUAAAUUUUGAAAAGGGGAUGUCUUUUUCUUAGUGAUAUUGGGUCUAUGGUGUGUCUAAAUGACUAAAUGUUCAUACAAUUAUAGCAUAGUUUGCAGUCCACUAAAUUCAGUAAAUGGUUAAGCUGUCACUUCUAUUAAUAUUUACAAAGGAGGAAUAAGUACGUACAGAAAUUCAAUCUGGUUCCCAAAUAGAGAGGAGUGUUUUAUUAUCCACCAAUGACCGCCUAAAAAAAAAAAGAAAAUCUAGUUAGGUGACAUUUAUUUUUUCUUUUUUAAAUGUUAAAUAGAAUUAAUGGAAUAAUAUAGAAUAACAAAAUUUUAAUGUUUGACGUAAUUAAUUAUGACCAAUAAUUAAAAAUAAAAAUGUAUUAUAUAUAAUGUGAUUUAUGUUAAUUAAUAACUCAAAUUUUUUUAAUGAUUCAAAAUGUUAUUGAUGUCUUAUAUUUCAAUGAUAAAUAUUUACUUUUUACUAUAGAUAUUCAGUUGUAUGAUUCGUUUUAAUUUAAUGAAAAGGUAAGGGUGGACAGAGCUUAUUCUAAAUUUUGAUGGCCUAACCCUAGCAAAAUACAAAUUUAAACUGCUAGCCAAACAAAAAGGUUGAAAUUAAAAACCAUUUGCUUCUGAAUAAGUCCGUCCCCAGUACCCGAUGCAAGAAUCAAGUACAUAUUGGUGAUUGGGAAAUAGACAUGAACUCUACUUUUGGCGGGUAACCAGCUUUUGUAACUGUUUUUUGAAGGCAUGGGAGACAAGUGGUUUUAAUUUUUCAAAUUUCUUUUUCACUUGAAAUUGCUAAGAAUAUUACGAAUUUUUUAGUUUUUUUUAAGUGGGUUGGAUUUACAUAAUUUAAGGAGAAGAUAUGACCGUCCUUUUGAAGUUUCGUAAUUGUAAUUAGUAAGACGAUACAAAUUUAAAAAUAAGUCCUCACUCAUCUUAUAAUUUGAACUAAUUAUAUAGUUAGCUUUCUUAUAUUUUUAAAAAGCAACAACGUCCUUAUUGUAUAUUUUAUUAAAAUCUACUUAAUUUCUCAUUUAUUUUUCACCACUUACAUGUUAGAUUUGUUUGAAUUUCAAGUUGAUAUCAAACUAAAAUUUUAUUUGGCCCUUGAAAAAUUUAUAUCUAGCAAUUAUGAAAGUAACAACAAUGAUAUUUUAAGGUUAGUUAGGUAAUUAGUUUAAACUAUAGGGACUAAGGAGCAAUAAUCAAAUAUUUAAAUGUUUUCAUAGGGGUUGCAUUUAUCAAGAUGGAGUGUCAACAUCGCUCCCCACAACGGCUAGAUAGAAAUGCAAUCCGACGACGGAAAUAUGCGGCUAUUAGCAAAACCGCACGCUGCAUAUUCGCUUUGGUCCUUGGCCACAAGUGCAAGAUUGUGCUUCUAGAUAUUUUUCAACUGCAUCUAUAAAAUGGCAUUAAUUAAUAUUCUCGACAGAUGAGUUUGCUUGUGCGUAAUUGCUCUACUUUUAGUGUAACUCUGGCCUCUAGCUGCUUUUGUGAUUCUCAUAAGCAACUGUGGUGGGUUAUUUAAAAUUUUUUGGCUUUACUUCUGCUCAUAUUAGUUUAUACUGAUUCUUGGUUGAGAAGUUAGUUAAAUUCUUUUGUUAAGUUGUAUCUACGUUCCAAGAAAUUCAUACCCUUUUUAAUUUGUUGUGCGGCACUUGUUAUGUUAGUUAUGGUGCUUGAAGCUUCCAUGGAAGACAACUACCACAAGCGUGCAAUUAAGAAAGAUGCAACUCAAGUAAAGUUCCUUCAGUACGCUAGCUUAUGCAUUCUAGCUAUAUGUCUUCCAUUUUCUCUUUAACUAUAUACACUUGAAUUAAAUUAAAGUCUUGCUAAUAAAGUGGGUGUCUGUGAACUGAACUUGUUCAGUUAAUAGGCAAUACGCCAAUGGUGUAUCUCAAUAAUGUUGUGGAUGGUUGUGUAGCCCGUAUUGCUGCCAAGCUAGAAAUGAUGGAACCUUGCUGCAGUGUCAAAGAUAGGUAUAUAUGCGACUUUUAGGCCCUAUUCCGUAUUGAGGUUGGGUAGAAGUUAUAACAUUAAAGUGUUUAGUAAAUACUAACUGUUAUUAUUUUAAAAUUAAGUUAAUUUGAUCCCACACUAGAAUGAAGAAAAACCUAUAAUAUUUUCUACUAUUUUUAUCAUAAUAUUGUUAUUUAAUAAUCAUAUUUUCUAGACACUAUCUACUUUAAUUUUAUGGUUAUAACUUUUUUUUUCCCUAUAACAGCUCUGGCUUAAAUAAUAUAACACCCCAAUAUCAAAACAGGGCUUAAUCACUAAUUGACUGCCUUUUUAAUGGUAUCACAAUGCUAAUUUGGUUAAUUUUUAAUGUUCAACAUGCAGGAUUGCGUUUAGCAUGAUCAAAGAUGCAGAGGAAAAAGGCUUGAUAACCCCAGGAAAGGUAUGCGGUCAAAAUUCUUCAUAUCAAAUGUCGCGCGUAUCAAUAGGACUACACAUUGCAGUGAAACUUGUGAACUGACAAAAUUUCUCCAUUUUGGAUACAUGUAAAGUCUGUCCUGAUUGAGACAACGGGUGGUAACACGGGCAUAGGAUUGGCCUUCAUUGCAGCACUAAGGGGUUACAAACUUAUCAUUGUAAUGCCGUCAAUAGCUAGUAUGGAGAGAAGGAUUGUGCUGAGAGCUCUGGGAGCUGAGGUUUAUCUUGCAGAUCAAGCUGGGGGCUUUGAGGGGAUUCUCAGAAAGGGAGAGGAGAUACUAAGCAAUACACCCAAUGGUUUUAUGUUUCGGCAAUUUGACAAUCCUGCCAAUCCUAAGGUUACAUUUAUGAUUCUGUUCUGUUAUAUUUGCUAAUUUAGAUUGGCGUUUCAAAAGGUUACAUUUAUGAAUCUCUUUUGUUUAUGACUGUAGAUUCACUAUGAGACCACUGGCCCAGAGAUAUGGAAAGACUCGGGAGGGGAUGUUGAUAUCUUAGUUGCAGGGAUCGGGACUGGUGGCACCGUGACUGGCUCUGGGAGAUUCCUCAAGGAGAAGAAUCCAAAUAUUAAGGUUAUAAUUUGUCUUCCUGGAAUUUGUUUGUGUGUGUUCUAAUGAUUACAUAGACGAAUGCUUGUUUUUCUUAUAUUGAGUAAUUUUAACAAAUGAAUCUUUUACUUGGAACUUAUUUUGUAAACCUACUCUUCUUAUGUUUAGGUAUAUGGAGUGGAACCAACUGAAAGUGCAAUGUUAAAUGGAGGACAACCUGGUCGGCUUUUGUUUUUUCUGUUUUUUUUUGUUUUUUUUUUGUUUUUUUUUUUUCCUUUUGGCCCUUUUAGAUGAUGGGGCUCUGCUUCCACAAGUAUGCAUGCAUAGUCUUUCUAGAUCUCCUUUUGGCCCUUUUAGAUGAUGGGGCUCCCUUUUGGCCCUUUUAGAUGAUGGGGCUCUGCUUCCACAAGUAUGCAUGCAUAGUCUUUCUAGAUCAAUACAUUUAAGAUGGGUACAUUUUUUGUUGCUUUGGUUUCCUUUCAAGCGUUGAUGAGAUGGGUAAUAUUCAAAGCUCAUGACGUGUUAUAGGAAAUCAUCUGAUCCAAGGUAUUGGUGCUGGUAUGAUCUCUAGCGUUUUGGAUGUUGACAUGCUUGAUGAAGUUCUUACAGUAAGUCAAGAAAACAUGUUGAAUGUUGCUAUUACUUAUUUUUGAAUUGACAUGUAAAAUUAAUGUUCUAGCACUAUAGUUACACCUGUCAUUAUCUUUGAAUUCUUGUCAUUGAUUACGCUAUCUGCCACUAAAUUAAAAUUCAUUCCAGGUAUCUAGUGAGGAAGCUAUUGAAACCUCUAAGCUGCUUGCCCGUAAAGAAGGGUUGCUGGUACAUAUACACAUGCUCUGUCUUUUGCUUAAUGGGCAUCCAAUUAAUGAGUUGUGCCGUGUAUUCUUGGCCUUUUCUCUUCUGAUUUUGGUGCUAAUUGUAGAUUGAUAUAACUCUUUGGCAGGUUGGAAUAUCUUCUGGUGCUGCAGCAGCAGCUGCUAUACGAAUAGCAAAGAGGCCUGAAAAUGCUGGGAAGCUCAUCGUCGUAAGUUUGAUUUCAUAACAAAUUGAUCAAUCUAAGUCAAUUUCUCAUUCUGUCAUCUAUGCUAAGCUACAAUAAAGCAUUGUUUCAAUAUAUAUAUAUAUGCAUGCAUGUAUGUAUGUUAAGCAUGCCGUUAAUUUCUUUAGCUUCUUGAGCAGGUGAUUUUCCCCAGUGCUGGAGAGCGUUAUCUAUCGACUGAAUUGUUUGAAUCCAUUAGAAUUGAGGCAGAAAACAUGACCAUUGAUUGAAAUGUCACUCAAGUUUCGGCCUCAAUUGAUUGAGGUGUUGUAAGAUAAAAGCUGAUGUGUGUUUAGUGAAUAGUGGUGUAAAAGCCAUCGGUAAAAAUUUGUCAUUCAACGGCGUUGAGGUUGCCGUUGAAUUGAAUCCAAUAGUGUCUUACACAAUUCUCAGUUUUAUUUUUUAUUUUUCACUCAAUACAAAUUUUAUUCCACAGCUUCAAAGAUUGUUUUCCAGCACAUUGCUCGAUCAGCGAGCGCGCCUCCAGUGAAAAGAAUUCACAUAAUUUAACUAGUCAAAAAAACAUCGGUAACUUAUGAGCUAGCAUUACUCCGAAACUUCCAACUAAACUUGGGAGACUCAUAAGCUAGCAUUACUCCGAAACUUUAACUAUACUUGGGAGGGGGCCGCGCGAACGCAGGCCCCCACUACCACAAAUUAUGACGUAGGCUCAGCCACUUUGGGCUGACCUUAGGCGGGUGCACCUCCGAAGUGCAAUGGAGGCCACCAACCUAGGCCAUGAGCCUUAAUGAUCGCCCAUUGACCCCGUCCAGGUAAGUAUGUUUUCAGGCUGCUUAGCAUUCCGUAUUUAUAUCUACUGUCAGAGCUACUACUGUCAUAUCUCCUCGAUGUGGGAUAACAUUGGUUUUGUCAGUCAUACUUUGUCAGCGUAAUCAGUCAUGAAGAGAAUAUGACCAGUUUUCUUUCUCGUAACUUUUCACGCUAUUACUUUCUGUGCAUGGAUGCUUUGUUACGAUUAUGAUCUGGAUAAAGCAAUAAUUAUGUGAUUUAUUAUGAGAACUAAUUCAACAUCAAUAUCUCCUCAUCGAAAGUAAAAAGAUUAUCAAAUUGAUUCUCGGUUAAGGUGGAGCAAGAUUGAAAGGAGUGAAUUGAGUUGAUUCCAAUAAAUCAAAUGCAAAUAAAAAAUUCAGAUGGAUGCUGGAUUAUAACUCCAUAAGGUUUUUUAUAUUUCAAAUACUUGUUACUCCAUUGUUAUAUAAAGUUUGGUUGCUGACUAUAUACAUGGAGAACGAAGUAGUACGAAUGAGAUGUUGCUGACAAUUUCGCCCUUCGAAAGCUUUAGUCUCAAUGGCGUUUCAUAAACUCAGAGUGAGUGUGAAUUCCUAGUGUUGGACGGGUGGGCGCCCAAGAUGGGCCGACCCGACCCGACCCACACAUGGUAACCAGUUGUUGGUUACCAUAUGCAUUAGGAAGAGAGAAGUUAAUUUGUGUUCAACUCCCAAACCGUUCCCAACCGUUGCUUAUAUACGCCACCAAAACUGUUGUUGUGAAGGUACGAGUUUUACCAUUCAUUCGUAAAAACAGUGUGUGGGUGAACAAAAUACAGAGAAGAUUCAUCUUAUUCUCUUCUUCAUCAAGAUUAAAACAAGAUUUUUGAAUAAUCCGUAAAAGACAUAUAUACUGUGACUUGAGGAAGAUUUCCGCUCGUGAUUUCUUUCCGACCAGUAACGUGAUCAACACCUAUUUAUUCCGCCGCAUAUUUCGAAAAAAAUAAGCCCUAUUGACUUUCUUUUAAGAAUUUCCAUCACCCAGAAACUGUGCACGACUUACCAAAUUGUCUAGCUGUCAAUGCUGUGAACUGUGAACCGAGAAAUUUCCAUUGAAAACUCAGGACUAUCUUGUAAAAGUACAUGUAUUUCACUAUUAUUUGACCGAAUAUUAUUGCUAGCUAAAGUACAUGCGUAGAAAGCCAACAGCCGCUUUGUAUUUAUAAAUGUUUCUUUUUCUUGUCUGCUUUCUCUUGUAUCCAUUGCAAAUAUAUAUGUAUUUGUACAUAUGCAUUAUCUCCUCAAUAGUUCACGUAUUGUGGGGAAAAGUUUUCCAUUACCAGGUUAGUAGUAUAAUGGUGUCUGGUCAUAUUUUAUUUUCUACUGCAGAUUUCACCUUGUUGAAAACUGCACUUCAAGACUCAUUCUUAUGCUGCAUAAAACUCUUUUUUUUUUUUUAAUGCUCAAGAAGCCUAUUGCUUUCCAAAUAUCUUCCCCAAAUUUUUUAAUUUUUUGUUCACCAUGUCAUUCAUCGGAUGACUUGCUUAUAUUUCUGUAACUGUACAGCUUCCAGGUUCUGGAUGCUAGAAAUUCUAGAAAAAGACAGUACUGAUAUCUUAGCUUUAGUUCUGUUUAUACUGAUUUCUUGGAAGUAAAUUUUUUCUCCGUCUGUUUUGUGCUCUGCCUAUAAUUUAGAGUGAUUCCUCAAUUGGGGUUGUUAAAUUUGUGAAUUGGGCUUGAUCUUGAGGAAAUGCUAUCUCCAUUCAAAGAAAUUUACAUCUCUGUUGCUGUGGCAUAUCAAGAUUGGCAGUUUGAUUUUGGAUAAGUGUUUGCGAAGUAGCUCCAUGGAGGACAAUAUUGCUAUUAAGAGAGACGUUACUGAAGUAAAUUUCUUUUAUUAUUAUUAUUAUUUUUUUUUUUCAAAAGCUUGGCUUUUGUCUUUGAUUACCAUAAUCUUGCUGAUAACGUGGGGGUAUGUGGGGUUGUCCAGUUGAUAGGCAAUACGCCAAUGGUGUAUCUGAACAAUGUUGUGGACGGUUGUGUAGCCCGUAUAGCUGCCAAAUUAGAAACGAUGGAACCUUGCUCCAGUGUCAAAGACAGGCAUACAGCAUACUAUAUUGUUUUCUUCGUAUCACGCUAAUCUUUAUAUUGGACUUCACUUCAUAUUGUUUUUUUAAUGUUUGACUUGCAGGAUCGCAUAUAGUAUGAUCAAAGAUGCAGAGGAUAAGGGCUUAAUUACCCCAGGAAAAGUAUACAAGAUAAACUUUCCAGUUAUUUAUGUUCAGUCAAGAUUAAUAAUUUGGAUCCAACCUAUUGCAUUUCUAAAAAAUUGAUAGCCACUUAUGUCUUGGGAAAGGGGGUUUUCAGCAGUUGUGGCAUUUUUCUUGUAGCUUUGCACACAGUUUUUGAGAAUACAAUGCUUGUUUGACAUGAUCAAGUUAUAUACAAGUCACUGUCAAUGCAAUACUGAUGCUCAAAUUAGUGACAUAUGAACUAACAAAUCUCCCUUCUGAAUAUGUUGAAUGAUAUGGAUUAAAAGACUACCCUCAUUGAGGUUACAAGUGGUAACACUGGCGUAGGAUUGGCCUUCAUAGCAGCAGCAAGGGGUUACAAUCUUAUCAUUGUAAUGCCAUCAACAUGUAGCAUGGAGAGAAGAAUUGUGCUCAGAGCUCUGGGAGCUGAGAUUAUUCUUGCUGAUUCAGCUCUGCGCUUUGAGGAGAUUCUUGCAAAGGGUGAGGAGAUACUAAAGAAAACACCAGAUGGUUAUUUGUUACGGCAAUUUGAAAAUCCUGCCAAUCCGAAGGUAUUAUGAUGGUUGAUAUGGUAAUGUAGGUUGGUUUUUGAAAGUGUAUAAGAACCUCUGUCUUCAUAUGUGUAGAUUCAUUAUGAGACCACUGGCCCAGAGAUAUGGCAAGACUCAGGAGGGAAGGUUGAUGCAUUUAUUUCAGGGAUAGGGACUGGUGGUACGGUGACUGGUGCUGGAAGAUUCCUUAAAGAGAAUAACCCAGAUAUUAAGGUUGUCUUGAGGGUAUUGCUCAAGAUAGUGUGUGAAACAAAGAGAACUAAAGCUCCUGAUUUAACAUUUUAAUGCUUUGCUUUCUCAUGUCUAUGUAUAGGUAUAUGGUGUUGAACCAUCUGAAAGUGCAGUCUUGAAUGGAGGACAACGCGGUUUGUUUAUUUUCAUAUCAUACCUUUUUCGUUCUUUUGUAUUAGUCGAUGAUGGUGCUGUGGUGCACUUGCACAACUAUCUGCUAUUGCAUAUCUUCACAUUAGUUUGCUAAUUAAUUUUCCUCAAACCUUCUGUAUGAGUACAAUUUCUUGAUUGGGGUACACUGCAUGCUGCUACAUGUUCUAGGCAAGCAUCUGAUCCAAGGUAUUGGUGCUGGUAUCAUCCCUUCUGUUUUGGAUAUUGACAUACUUGAUGAAGUUAUCACAGUAAGUCAUAAAAUUGAUCUUCAUCUACUACAUUUCUGCUGUUGUUCUUCUCCUACUCUGUCAUUUCAAAAGAAAAUUACUUAUAAUGGGGUUACAUUGUAAAAUGGGAAGUAAUUAUAAAGGAUUAGUACUAAAGAGCUUUUCCUGCUACCGUUGUCUUGAGUUCUGUCUUUGACACUGACAACAUCGGGAUAAAUAAACAAGUUCUGGGUGUGAAGAGGGCAAAUAAGGCUCCCAGACAAUUAAAUUCUUUUCACCGGCUACACUGCCACUAAAAAUUAUUUCCAGAUAUCAAGUGAGGAAGCUAUUGAAACUGCUAGGCUGCUUGCCUUGAAAGAAGGUUUGCUGGUAUGUUCAAAAACUUAAAGAUUGCUUGUAAGUUCUUACACUCCCUCUUUUGCUAUCCUUUUUCGGCCUCUAGAGCUCAUUAAAGCAUAAUUACUUGGCAGGUUGGAAUAUCUUCCGGUGCAGCAGCAGCAGCUGCUAUACGAUUAGCAAAGAGGCCUCAAAUGUCUGGGAAACUCAUUGUUGUAAGUUUGAUUUCCUUUUAGUUGCUACAUGUACUUAGAAAUCAUAUUGUACUUGACUUCGAUUCUCUAACAGCAAAGUUUGCUAAAUUUAAAUAUUAUUCAAUUCAUAAUCUGGUCUAAACCAAAUUAGCCAUGUCAUGUCUUUGGCUCCCUGUGCAGGUGAUCUUUCCCAGUGCUGGAGAGCGUUAUCUAUCCACAGCACUGUUUAAAUCCAUCAGACAUGAGGCAGAAAACAUGUCCAUUGAUUGAGAUAUCAAUCAAGUUUAUUUAAAAUGCACUGCAUAUCUUUAUGCUCUUUUGCCGCCUGAGUAUUGUAUCGAUAGACCAUGCACUAGGAAUGAAAGCUUAAUCUGAUUAAGGUUUAGAACGUGUUUUGAUAAAAAAAUUAUGUAUGGUCUUUGUAGCCAUCCAUUCACACUUGUUUGUUUCUUAUGGUUACUCAUUUCCUCUCCUUUUGAGUAUAUUUAGUUAUACAGCUUGCCAAAAGGUCGUUCCCAAUAUCUUUUCAGUAAUGUCCAAAGAGUGGAAACACUUCUGCCAUGCACAAUUAAACCAGCAACCAGGUACCAACCUCGAAUUUGUUUGAAUUAGAUUCCACCAACUGCUGUUUGACAAUGCGGGUUUUGCUAGCUUAUGGCUGCUUUUGAAUUUGUUGUUCCCUGUGUAUAGAAUCCUGCUGAUUGUUUUUUAUUUUCAUUAGCCAGCCAAAGCCGGAUUGGGGCCAGUGUCCUUGAUGCCAAGUUAAUGAUAAUGAACAAGUGACUAAUGUUUUGAAUCUCUUUAUAUAUAAUAACUAGAUAGCUCAAAUGAAAUCUAAUAGCUGUUCAGUUACUGAUUACAACUAAAUUUUGGAAUUAGUUUUCCUGUUAGCAACUAAUAGAUCCCAACCUUCACUGAGAGUGCUAAUUUGAUUUAUAUGAGAAAGAGGGAGGUGUUUAUUUGUUGUUUUAAAAAAAAAAUUAAUAAAUCCAAAUAUAAUUCCAUCCUCCAAAAAUUUAGAACGGUUUCUUGCUGUUUAUCUCAAUAAAAAGAAACCAUCCCCUUUGAUUACCGGAAAUGGGUAUCUUUCACGUCAUUCCUCAUAUGUAUAAUCACAUCAUUCCUCAUAAUGGUAACACAUUAUCCAUUACUUUAAUCACCUUGCAUCAUAUGACAUUUUGGCCCAGAAAAAAAUAUGUAGACAGCAUGAUAACAAGGCCACAAAAAAAUAAUAAAUUUUUUUAUUAAUUUCCUCUAAUAUUUUUAUAUUUUCAUUUUAAUUUUUACUAAAAUUGAAAUAUCAGAGAAAAAAAUGAUGUGGAAUAAGGAAAACAAAAAGAUUGGCGUGCAGUACAUUAUGGAUACAAAAUCUUAGAAAAAGAAAAUUUCUUUCUUCUUUCAGUCGUGUGUUAUGUUUUGGAAUAUAAAGAGUGAAAUUUACAUGAAUGAUAAAAUCUGUCCAAAUUUUUAUAUAUGAACGAAUUGUAUCAUGACUAAACCUAUACAAUUUGGUGAGAAAAGAAUUUUAUUUUUAUAUUUGAGUCUCCAUAUUUGACCCCUCAAAUUGUCUCCCUAACCCCAAUUUUCAAUUUAUUUUAUUAUUUUUAAAACUUACUCUUAUUAAAAAUAAAAAUAAAAAAUAAAAUUUUUUUACUCUAUUUUACUCCCUCUUCCCUCUUUCUAACAUGAGCAUCACCUUCACCAUAUAUUUCUAUCAACAAGAAAUUCAUUAUCAUCAUCACUACCAUCAACAUAUGAUGAGUUUCAAUUUAAUCUAAAUAAGUGGUGUCACAAUGGCGGUGUUAGGAAUUCAAAUGUAGUAAGGCUUAGUUCAAACAUAAUAUAAUUUUAAAAAAUUUCAAUAAACAACAAGUAUCAAAAUCAAUAUUUAUUAAAAUAUAUAUUUCAUUCAAUACAUUUACAACUGCUAAAAAAGUAUUUGCUAUGUUGAAAAUGUUGAAGGAUAAUCUCAGUUAUCAACACUACAAAAUGCAUUAUUUUUUAUUUAUAUAGUUAUACUACCAUUGAACCAUUGAUCUCCCAUCCUAUUGAAAUAUCAAUUCAUUCACUACAUUCAUUUAAAAUAAUUUAUUCAAUUACAUUUCAAGGCAUUAAAUGCAUGUUGUUUUAUACAUUAUUUUAUUUGAAAAAAUAAAAUGUGUUUUUACUUAUCCAAUUUAUUUUAUGUACCCUUAAAAUUUCAAUUAGAAAACAUGGAACGAACAACAAGCAAUCCGUUAGUGGAAAUAAUAGAAUGGAGUUGUUGUAAGAAAAGAAAGUCAAAACCAAAACGUGCCUUUAAACUUUAAUAUCUCAUAUUUUUUUAUAUAUUUGAAAUUUAGCAAGGGCUUUUAUAAUAAAUCAAGUUAAAAUUUGACAAAUAUCAAAAUUGGUUUAAAAAUUUUCAAAAGUCAAGCCAGGGCUUAGCCCCCACUAGCUCCAAAAUGGUACCAACCCUGAGUGGUGAGUUUUACUAUUAUUGAUGAUAUUGGUUUUGAUUUUGAGCAAUAACUUAACAUUUUGUUUAAUUCCAAUUUGAAUUUUAAUUAGGUGUUAGUAUUUUAAUUCAAAUUAUGAAUAAAUUAAAAAGAGAAAGGGAUUUGAGAUAUGAGAUGUUAAUCCAUUGAGAGUUUAAGAGAUAAAUAGAUAUUUAUUUUUUAAUUAUUUUUAUUUUUGAAUAAGGGUGAUUUUGAAAUAAAUAAUAUUAAUUGGAAAGUGGGGGCUGUGCAGUGGCGGACCUGCAGCAAGGCUACAGCCCGGUUAAACUUAGGAAAAAAUCAUUUAUACUCCUCAUUUUACCAUCAAUUAUAUACAAUAAUAGAGAUUUUAUUUUGUUUUCAUACAUGUCCCUAAUACAAUUAUUCUUAUAUUUUCAUUAAUUUUAUACUAUAAAAGAGUUUUUAUUUUAUUUUCAAAUAUAUCCUUAAUUCAAUUGUAUUUUUUUCCAAUUGAAAUUAGUGACUUAUUUGAUAAAAUGAGUAAAUUAUUACUUUAAUUUAUUUAAAAAAUUCUAAUUGAAAAAAAAGUAUGACAGUCUAAUAUAAAAUUGUCACUAGUAUUAAACAACUUAAAAAAACAACAUAUAGUAACAAUUAUCAACAUUUUCAUAAACUUUUUAUGUGAAUUUUGAUAUUUUAUUUAUUUGUUACAUUAACUAAGAUAACAUUUGAAUAAUUUGAGGAGCUUUAAUUUGAUAGAAAAAUCAUCAACAAUUGGUUCUUUAAAGAGAGUCAGAGCGUCUGGCAAAGAAACAACGACACCCAAAUACAUUUUUAUUGGGUUGAGUUUAGUUUAUUAUUGAAACUUUUGACUAAUAACAUUUUUAUAAUUUAAAAAGAGGAAUACAUUUGAAUUGUUUAAUUUAUUGAAACAUGGUAAUUAAGAACUUGACUUCAAUGUUGUGCAAAUUUUAAUGUACUCGCAAGCGCACGAAUCUAUUGUAGUAUAGAUCAAUGGUGACGAGUGUCGAUCCCACGAGGAGGUGGAUUUUAAUUGUGUGUAGAAUUAAUUUUGUAAAUGGGUGAUUGGAUUUGUGGUGGAAAUGAUUUGGAAUAUGUUAAAACUUAAAUUAAAAUGGCGAGAAUAAAUUCUAAAAUUGGAAUUGAAAUGGCGAGAAUAAAUUGAAGAGAAUUCUAUUGAAAUGAGGUACAGCAGACCAUCAGAAAAGAAACUCAUCCCAUCAUCAGAAGCACCACCGAAACUCGAGCCCAAACUAUUACCCCACACUUUGGAAUAUGCAUUUUUUGGAGAAGAAAGUAUUCUAUCGGUAAUCAUCUCAUCAUCCCUAAAUGACGAACAAAAAAGUAAGUUGUUAGAUGUUUUAAAAGAGCACAAAGGAGCAUUAGGAUGGACCAUAGUAGACAUCAAAGGUAUAAACCCAGUAGACUGCAUGCAUUACAUUCACCUUGAUGAAAAUGCUAAACCUUCAACCCAAGCUUGAAAGAAAAUUAGCCACUCAUAAUUGAACUAGGGGCAAAAUAGGAAUUUAUUAAAAUACGUAGAAAAUACAAGAUGAAGAAGGAAUUACAGAAAAUAGAGUCCAAAAAUAGAUUCAGAGACUAUCAAAUUAGGGGGGGGGAAGCCCCUUUUUUAUAGAUACAUGGAGUAAAUCAUGACCAUCAAAUUAAAAACAGUUUGGACGCUCAGGAUUGCGCCAUGUCAUCAGUCAACAGUACGCGGUUUGACCACGUGGAUGAACAGUACACACGGUUUGACCCGGGUGAACAGUGACGCGGUUUGGUUGAAAAUAAUCCUGUGUGAUGCAUGUACCGUACGCGAGAUUUUUCGACGUAAAUUAGAGGAGAAGAGAAAAUAAAUUUACCAAAUAAAGCCCAUGGCACAUGUUGAGACUUCACCUUCAACCCAAGCUUGAAAGAAAAUUAGCCACUCAUAAUUGAACUAGGGGCAAAAUGGAAAUUUAUUAAAAUACAUAGAAAAUACAAGAUGGAGAAGGAAUUACAGAAAAUGGAUCCCAAAAAUGCAUUCAGAGCUAUCAAAUUAGGGGGGGGGAAGCCCCUUUUUUAUAGAUACAUGGAGUAAAUCAUGGCCAUCAAAUUAAAAACAGUUUGGACGCUCAGGAUUGCGCCAUGUCAUCAGUCAACAGUACGCGGUUUGACCACGUGGAUGAACAGUACACACGGUUUGACCCGGGUGAACAGUGACGCGGUUUGGUUGAAAAUAAUCCUGUGUGAUGCAUGUACCGUACGCGAGAUUUUUCGUCCACUGAUAUGCUGCCACGUCACCAUCAACAGUACAUAAGAAUUUUAGCCCAACAGGAUCGUGACACCUCAUUAGUCAAUGCCACAUCAUUGGUCAAUGCCACGUCAUCGAUCCGUCUAUGGAAACAGUGUCAUGAACAGUAACGUAGACAGUACCGUAUACGUGAAUAGUACCGUACAUGUGAAUAGUGCCAUUUGUCCUUUUAUGCUCCUCCAAAGGUUUUCGACCGUCCUGAGUUCAAAAGUGAUGUCCGUUUUGCCGUCUGAUCUCUCGUUUAUUGUGAAAUGACCAUGAUACCCCUAAAAUACAUAAAAUACUUAAUUAAAAUCAAACACACAUAAUUAAAUUGCAAGAAGCUUAAAUACAUAAAAGUAAGGGUUGUUAGUAAAACUUGAAAUGUAAAAUGAUGAUUUUCUCCUUUAUAAAUAUAUAUUUUAUAACACUCAACAUUCAACAUUAAAGUUUUACUUACAAUUUUUAAUUGAUUGUAAUUACAUGUAUUCAUUUAUUUCAGCUUAAAAUCCUUAAUUAAUAUAUUAAUCCUUAUAUAAUCCUUGUAUAAUUACAUUUUAUUAGAGUCAGAUUCCAUAAUUGUAAAAUAGUGUUUUUAUUUUUUAAUUGCCUUUGUUUUCUACUCUUUUUAUAAAUUAUUUUUGUUUAAAGUACGUACUUAUAUGGAUAAGAUUUUUCGUGUCCCUCUUAUUUGAUGCACUUUUUUCUAUUUAUAAAUUUUUAUACUCACUUUAAAAUAUAAAUUUUUUUAAUUUAGUCCGGGGGUAAUACAAAUUUAUGGGUCCGCCCCUGGGGCUGUGUAUUUCAAAGUUUAUAUUUACUUGAAAUUUUGACACUCGACAAACUUAAGAGAUUUUUUUUAAAUAAAAAAUGAAAAGACAAUAAGUUUUUUAUUUUAAAACGAUACAAAUUAGAAUCUUACUAUUAACUUGUCAACUUUAUCCAUCGUUAAAAAAAAAAUUUUUACCAAAGAUUUCAACUUUUAGGUAGUAAUAUUUAAAUUAUGGGUCCGCCUACGUUACAUGUAGUGUAACGUACACUCAGCCUGUGCAAUUUCAUCUAGCCCCUUAUACUUUCUGUUAUUUAUAUUUUAUUCAUAAAUAUUAUAAAUUUUUUGAAAUGUACAAUUUCGUUUAACCCCUUAUACACUCAAUUUUAUUUUAUUAAAACCCUAGAGUAUGAAUUCGCCCCUAUAAUAAUAAUAAUCAAUGAUAAUUAAUAUAUUUAUGAUUAUAAUAAAAUAUGAAAGGAGAGCGGAGACUUUUAUUUUGAAUAAACUAGUUCCGAUUAACAUAUUUAUGAUUAUAAUAAUAUUUUUUGAGUUNNNNNNNNNNNNNNNNNNNNNNNNNNNNNNNNNNNNNNNNNNNNNNNNNNNNNNNNNNNNNNNNNNNNNNNNNNNNNNNNNNNNNNNNNNNNNNNNNNNNNNNNNNNNNNNNNNNNNNNNNNNNNNNNNNNNNNNNNNNNNNNNNNNNNNNNNNNNNNNNNNNNNNNNNNNNNNNNNNNNNNNNNNNNNNNNNNNNNNNNNNNNNNNNNNNNNNNNNNNNNNNNNNNNNNNNNNNNNNNNNNNNNNNNNNNNNNNNNNNNNNNNNNNNNNNNNNNNNNNNNNNNNNNNNNNNNNNNNNNNNNNNNNNNNNNNNNNNNNNNNNNNNNNNNNNNNNNNNNNNNNNNNNNNNNNNNNNNNNNNNNNNNNNNNNNNNNNNNNNNNNNNNNNNNNNNNNNNNNNNNNNNAUUAAUUAUAAUGCUUUUUAUUCUUGUUAUUAAUAAUAACAAUAAUCUAUUAAAAAAAUAUUUAUGAUUAUAAUAAAAUAAUAAUUAUAAUUAUAAUUCAUUUAACAAUAAUUAUAUUUUUUAAUUAAAUAGAGGUUAUUUUGAGAAUUUAAUAUUAUAGGGGCGAAUUCAUACUCUAGGAUUUUAAUAAAAUAAAAUUGAGUGUAUAAGGGGUUAAACGAAAUUAUACAUUUCAAAAAAUUUAUAAUAUUUAUGAAUAAAAUAUAAAUAACAGAAAGUAUAAGGGGCUAGAUGAAAUUUCACAGGCUGAGUGUUCGUUACACUACAUGUAACGUAGGCGGACCCUUAAAUUAUACCCUCCACCUUAUUAAGUCUAAUUCCAAGUAUUCAACAUCAGUGAGUACAAUGUCAAAGUCUACUAAUGACUCUGUAUAAAAAUAUCAAUAAAUAUAAGGGUCCGCCUACGUUACAUGUAGUGUAACGUACACUCAGCCUGUGAAAUUUCAUCUAGCCCCUUAUACUUUCUGUUAUUUAUAUUUUAUUCAUAAAUAUUAUAAAUUUUUUGAAAUGUAUAAUUUCGUUUAACCCCUUAUACACUCAAUUUUAUUUUAUUAAAAUCCUAGAGUAUGAAUUCGCCCCUAUAAUAUUAAAUUCUCAAAAUAACCUCUAUUUAAUUAAAAAAUAUAAUUAUUGUUAAAUGAAUUAUAAUUAUAAUUAUUAUUUUAUUAUAAUCAUAAAUAUUUUUUUAAUAGAUUAUUGUUAUUAUUAAUAACAAGAAUAAAAAGCAUUAUAAUUAAUNNNNNNNNNNNNNNNNNNNNNNNNNNNNNNNNNNNNNNNNNNNNNNNNNNNNNNNNNNNNNNNNNNNNNNNNNNNNNNNNNNNNNNNNNNNNNNNNNNNNNNNNNNNNNNNNNNNNNNNNNNNNNNNNNNNNNNNNNNNNNNNNNNNNNNNNNNNNNNNNNNAUUGUUAAUAGAUUAAUUAUAAUGCUUUUUAUUCUUGUUAUUAAUAAUAACAAUAAUCUAUUAAAAAAAUAUUUAUGAUUAUAAUAAAAUAAUAAUUAUAAUUAUAAUUCAUUUAACAAUAAUUAUAUUUUUAAUUAAAUAGAGGUUAUUUUGAGAAUUUAAUAUUAUAGGGGCGAAUUCAUACUCUAGGGUUUUAAUAAAAUAAAAUUGAGUGUAUAAGGGGUUAAACGAAAUUGUACAUUUCAAAAAAUUUAUAAUAUUCAUGAAUAAAAUAUAAAUAAUAGAAAGUAUAAGGGGCUAGAUGAAAUUUCACAGGAAAAAUAUAAGGGACUAGAUGAAAUUGCACCGGCUGAGUGUACGUUACACAACGUACACUACAUGUAACGUAGGCGGACCCUAAAUAUAAAUGCUUGUUACCCCAUUAUGGCAUCAUCUGAAUUGAAUGCAUGAAUGAAACCAGAAAUUUUUUUUUUUUUUAAAAAAAAAUGUUAAUAAGGUGUUGUCACUCACACUUGCAAUUCAGAAGAAUGAAAUAAAACACGCAACAAAUGAGUCUCGGCUGACUUUAGAUUAGAUAAUGAAGCGACACGCAACAAGUUUUGUUAGACAGUCUUAAACUUUUGAGCCUUCACCGUGUGUCACGUUGUUAACUUCUGCAGUCAAGAGGAAGUUCAGGUUCCAUUCGACACCGAGGACAAUCUUGUAAAAGCCUCAUCAGACGACAAACACUUUCUAAUAUUUGAAAUUUUUGCUUUUCAUGUUUGUUUCCUUCCGGGUGUGUGAUAUAUAUACGUAUAUGUUUAUCUUCAAUGUCUGAUGCAUAACGUGUUGCAGAGAAAAGGUUACACCAGGUGCGUAAAUUGGUCUGAUUAUAUAUUUCCUCUCCUCUGGGAAUUUCCCUAUGAACCAAAACUGGAUUUCUAGGUUGUUUCUUGCAGUCCAUGACUCUCAAAUUUUACUUUAUUUUAGGUUCAUAUUGUUUUGUUUUGUUUUUUUUUUAGUGUUUCUAGUAUAGGCUGCUUUAAAUUCUUGUAAUUAGAAGUUUUAAGGUAUGGUUCUGCAUUUUGAUUCUUGCUUGGGACAUACAAGUUUCUCACAAUAUAUUUUCUCUGUUCGGUGCUCAAUUUAUAAUCUUGGUUAUCGAUAUUAAAUACCCAUUUUGAGGUAUAAGGUGCUUGGAAUUCGGUUAGCUCCUUUGAGGUAUUGGGCUACUUGACAAAAUUUAAUUUGCCUUGAGACCUUUAAAGAGCAAGAAUAGUGGUACUCUUGAAAGGAAAAUGGUGAAUGAAACUGUAUUUGCAACUGAGUUCUGCUCUAUCUUGAUCUUUAGGAACUGGUAUCUCCAUUCAAACUGCCAAGUGCUAGGCUGGCUGCUUGAUUUUUUGAAAGUUUUUGGUGAAGUAGCUCCAUGGAGGACAAGUGUGAAAUUAAGAAAGACGUUACGGAAGUAAUUUUCUUCACAUAACUCAUGCUUUUGAUCUCGCCUUUUGUCUGUGAUUACGGUGAUCUUGCUUACGAUUUGGCUGUAUUUUGCUCGUUCAGUUAAUAGGCCAUACACCAAUGGUGUAUCUCAAUAAUGUUGUGGAUGGUUGUGUCGCCCGUAUUGCUGCCAAGCUAGAAAUGAUGCAACCUUGCUCUAGCGUCAAAGACAGGUUAACGACAUUCUCAUUUGUUAAUCGCUAAUUGGUUGUAUUUGUUGGCAAAUGUGGGCAUAUGAUGCUAAUAUUCUAUUGGAAGUCAUAGAUUUGGUUUUCAAUGUUUUCACAUGCAGAAUUGCAUAUAGUAUGAUCAAAGAUGCAGAGGAUAAGGGCUUAAUAACCCCAGGGAAGGUAUUCGAUGGAAAUUCUCCAAUUCUAAAGUUGAUUAAUCAUAAAAAUUAUGCUAUGAACUCAGUUUUUUUGUUUUCAGUCAACAUUAAUAACUUCAACCAAGCCCAUCCUGCUUCUUAAAAUUUUAAGAGUCUCUUGUGUUUUCCAAGACUUCUGUUAACUAACAAAUUUGCCGUCUGGAUAUGUUGGAAUGUUGAUGGUUAAAGACUGUCCUCAUUGAGCUAACUAGUGGAAACACCGGCAUUGGAUUGGCCUUCAUUGCAGCAUCAAGGGGUUACAAACUUAUCAUUAUAAUGCCAUCAACAUACAGUAUUGAGAGAAGAAUAAUUCUCAGAGCUUUGGGAGCUGAGGUUUAUCUUGCAGAUCCAGCAGUGGGCUUUGAGGGGUUUGUUAAAAAGGGUGAGGAGAUACUAAACAGAACACCUAAUGGUUAUAUUCUUGGACAAUUUGAAAAUCCCGCGAAUCCGGAGGUACACUUUUCGUUGAUAUUACAACAUAGGUCUGCAUUUUAAAGGGUUUAUUAAUCUGUUUAUUGUCAAAUGUGUAGAUUCAUUACGAGACAACUGGCCCAGAGAUAUGGAACGACUCAGGAGGGAAGGUUGAUGCUUUUAUAGCAGGGAUAGGAACCGGUGGUACUGUAACUGGUGCGGGGAGAUUCCUUAAAGAAAAGAACCCAAAUAUUAAGGUUACCUUGAGGGUAUUGUUUGAGUAUGUGCAAGCAUGACUGGGAAAGAUAGAAAAAGAGGUUCUGAUUAUUCAUUCUAAUGCUUUCUUUUCUAGGUAUAUGGUAUAGAACCAUCUGAAAGUGCAGUCUUGAAUGGAGGACAACCUGGUUAGUUACUCUUUUUCUUUUCUUUAAGAUAUAUAAUAUCAUUUAUUUGUUUCAUGCCAUAUUUUGUUGUUUAUUUUCUUUCGUAUCCACAUUGCAUAAUUUUACAUUUGAAAGAUUUUAUGUGGUUUAAAGCUGAGUGCUUGCAUCAGCACAUUGGGCGAUAGCACAUUUUUAGAAUCUCAUUGGUGUCAGAAUUUUGUCAGAACACCAGCAGCCUUAUGACUCUUAUCAUAUUUGACAAGAUUAGAAACUUUUGGGCAGUAUUUUCUUUGUGAAUACGAAAGGUUCAUUGAAUAUUCUUGUUUUUCCUGUUUUAUUCCAAGUUCUGUUUUGAAGACUUCAUAUGAAUACUUUCACCUGAGCUGCUGCAUAUAUUUUCUUCUACACAUUUCUGAGAUUAGUAUCAUUUCCUGAUUGGUGUACAUCGCAUGCUGCAACAUGUUAUAGGGAAGCAUCUGAUCCAGGGUAUUGGUGCUGGUGUCAUCCCUCCUGUUUUGGACGUUGCCAUGCUCGAUGAAGUUAUUACAGUGAGUAUUAAAAUCCAAUUUUGGGUUAGUUACUUCAGAUUGGGUGAUUGGCACGUAAAAUUUAUUUUGCAGUGCUAGAUUUCUGUCAUUUGUUCUCGCAUUUUAAAUAAACUUACUCAUAAUUGACUGUAAAAAUACUUUUCAGGUAUCAAGUGAGGAAGCUAUUGAAACUAGUAAGCUGCUUGCCCUGAAGGAAGGUUUGCUGGUGCGUUUAUGUUUUAAAUAUUGCUUUUAGUUCUUAUGCUCCAUCUUUUCCAUUCUAUAAUUUCUAUUCCAGAUUUUGUCCCUUUGAUUGCUAGCCGUCAGUCAAUUCGUUGGCAGGUUGGAAUAUCUUCUGGUGCAGCAGCGGCAGCUGCUAUACGAGUAGCAAAGAGGCCUGAAAAUGCAGGGAAACUCAUUGUUGUAAGUUUGAUUUUCUUUGCUAAAUAUAUAAACUGUACUUAGUGUAAACAGUUUACAAUUUUGUAAUUUGUACUAAACUAUACUAACCGUGCCAUUUCUUCGGCUUCCUGUGCAGGUGAUUUUCCCCAGUGCUGGAGAGCGUUAUCUAUCCACAGCAUUGUUCGAAUCCAUUAGACACGAAGUGGAAAAUAUGCCCAUUGAUUAAGACGUCACCAAGUUUAGUAAGCAGCUGCCUGAAUUUGGGACAAACAUCCCUGCAUUUUCCGUAUGUGCCAGCCUAUAUUUACUUACUCUUUAUCGACUGUAUUUUAGUUCUUCUGAUGCUGUGACGGCUAGGUUCUAGAGAAUGGAACUAAGCCUUCAGCACAAGAAGAUUCAAUAAAUUUUGUAUGUAAAAUUGCAAUUUAGACAACCAAUCUGCUAAGAAAGCAAUGCAUUGUAAAAUAAUCUCAAAUUUGCUUCCCUUUGCUAGCAAGGUUUGGACAAGUUUGACAGAUAGUUGUUUGUUGUUAUUUGCAAGCAACUUAAAUUCUGCAAUGAAAAUUAAACUUUAAACGCACCUAAAUUUGAAAACCAAAUGAAACAAUUAUGAUCACUAAUGACAGUUUAGUUUAGUUUAAUUUCUUUCCCAUUACGAUUAUAUUUUUUUUAUCAAUUUAGGGUUCUAAUUCUAUUAAAAUUAAGAUUGUGUUGAACUAUUAUAAAUAAGUGGUUCUUAACAUGUGUCUUAGUAAAUAGUAAUAAAAUUAAUUCCAACCCAUAUUAAUUUCUCUCUUCCUUCUAAAUUUUUGAAUUCUUCAUCUCCUCUCCCCUAACAUCUGGCAUCAGAACAUAUUUUUCCAAGCCACCAAUUUUUCUUUUUCUGUUCAACUAAAAAAAUCUUCUCUCCCCUAACAUCUGGCAUCAGAACAUAUCCCUUCAUUUUUAUUGUUAGCUUUUCGUAAGUCAAUUAAUUGCUUUAAUCAAGUUUAUUCCACCAACUAAUUUUGACUUUUAUGAGUUACGGCCAUAAGCCAUCAACCGAACCCACCAUUAGCCUCAACAAGCUCCAGCAACCACACCUAAACUAGUGCCAUCAUCAACCGUCGACCAGCAACAGCACAACACCGAAUUUCUUGAUAAUUUUUUUAGACAUCAUGAUCGUUACCGUAAAGAAAAAGUUGCGCAACCGUCACAAAUUAGUAAAAAAUUUGCAGUGUUAGGGUGUGUUUGGUAUUGUUUUCAAAUUUCAUUUUUUAUUUUUUGAAUUUAGAAAACACUAAAUACGUGUUCAGUAGCUCGUUUUUGAAAAUGAAAAAUUCAUUCUACAUUUUUAACAAAAGAAGAAAACAAUUUUUUUCUUAUUUUUCUUAUUUUCUAAUAUAGUAUUAAAUUUCAAAAUGAACAAUUUUCUUCCAUCACCUCACAAAACAAUAAUAAUAUCAUCAUCAUCAUCAUCAUCAUUAUUAUUAUUUCUUCCAAAAAAUCAAUUUCCCUCACAAUAAUCUUUUCUUGUUAUAUACAUUAUAAUAUUUAUAUUUUUAUAUCUUAAUUAAAUCAAAUAUGCAGAGUUUAUAAUUUUUCUUUAAAUAAAAAAUUAACGAGAUCAAUAAGAUCGCCUAAUUUAUUCUUAAAAUUAAAAUAAUCAAACUGAUUAAAUAAUAAAAAUAAUUAUUCAUUACUUAAUUUUAAGUUUAUGCAAAUUAUUCCAAUAAUAAUUCUUUAAAAUAUUCCUACUGAACAUAUUUUACUUUUUUUAUUUUUAAGAUUAUUUUUAAAAAUAGUACCAAACAUAUUUUUUAAUUUUAAAAAUAAAUUUGAAAAUAACAUUUUCAUUUUUAUUUCAUAAAAACAACAUUUGAAAAAUAAUAUUAAAUAGAGCCUUAGCUGCCCAGAAUAACAUUUUUAUCUGCUGUACGGCCAAGGCCUAAUACAAUGCUAAUACAAUACAACAUAAUACAAUAUAUCAGCAUUAAAAUAAUGCAAUACAGCAUAAUACAAUACAGUGUACCAAACACACCCUCAAAAUACUUCUAUGGGACAUUCUUGAAGGCCAGUUGUGCAUGGCAGCAUAACUAUCUCCUAGUCCACAUGAAGUUGGCAUGUUAGAAUGCAGGGACUCCACCCAUCAACUAUCAGCCAGCAACACCACAACCCCGAAUUUUCUUGAUAAUUCUUUUUAGACAUCAUUGUGUUUACCGUACUUAAAGAAAAAAAUAGUGCAACCAUAUCAAAUUGAUGAAAAAUUUACAGUCUUAGCUGCUCAAAAUAACGCUCUCAAGGCACUUCCACAAGACAUUCUUAAAGGAUUAGGCCAGUUGUGUGCAAGGCAACACAACCAUCUCCUCGUCCACACAUGUUAGAAUGCAGGGACUCCACGAAACUCUUUAUUUGCCAGCAUUGUGACCAUUCCAGAGAGGAGACAAUUCAUGUUCUCAUCAAGGAUUCACACUCUUAAAUUCUAGCCCUCCGCAACCCUGGACUAGAACCGACACCCACUCCACCAGUCCUUUCUUUAUUGGGACCAAUACCCUCUGCAUUACCCAAACAUUUAUCAACAUCUAUACAUGCUGAGAGACAUUCUACAGAGGUUUGUUUUAAUUGUGAUGAGCAACUUAAGCCGGAGCAUUAUUGCAAACAACUUCAACUAUUGCCUUUAGCAGCUGAUGUCUCCAUUUAUCAUCAGUCUAAUACCUCAGUGGUUUUCAUUCUGUCAGCACACUUUUUCGAUUGGAAGCCACUAACGACUAUUUGAAUUGAAAAAAAUUGGUUAUUGAUCUUGGCCAGAAGGCUUGCAUGGGAAAUGUUACCACCCUAAUAGUUUAUUUUUAUUUCUUUUCUAUUAGGGCUAGGAUGACAAUAGGCACUAAUUGCCAUGGGUUUGCGAUACUAAACCUCGUACCAGCACAAAAUUUAAAUUACUAAACCUAACUGUAAUUCACUGUGAGUUUUAAUUUUUUUUUUUUUAAGAAAGACCACCUACUAUGAAUUUUGAUUAUUAUCAAACCAAUAAUGGCACCGAACAUAAUUUUUUGCAGGUUCUCAUAUUUAGAAUUACAAAUGUUCAACGUGUAAAAUUAUAACAACAACCUGAAAUAGUAAAAUUAAACAUAAAAUACUUAAUUUUAAAUUUAAUUAAUGUAAAUGAAAAAAAGGAAAAUUUCAACAUAAAUCCAACAAUAAAUCAAAUUUAAGUAUGAAAUGCAUAAGUCCAUUAAAAUUCAAAAGUGCUUUCAAUUAAUUAAAAAAAAACACAACAAUGGCAAAGGCAGCAGCAAUGGCUACAUAAUCAGCAACGACGGUAGCUCUAAAAUCACCGGUAGAGGCACCAACAACAACAAAUAGCUACCAAAUCAAUGAUAGCGGCGGCUACAGAAUUAACAGCCCUUACAAUAGCUGCAACAGUAUGGUGCUAUUGUCAGUAAAGAAGAGAGUUGGGCACUGGCUAUUUGGAUUGAGAAGGGAGUUAGGUAGCAGGGUAGUGUGCGACUCAUGGUCACGACUGAAGGUAGAUGACAUAUCGGUUUCCUUUAGUUUACUUAAAGAUGAGAGAUCGACUGAAGAAGUAGAUGGACUUUAUGGGUUACACGUUGUAGCUGCGCGCACGUUUACACAUUUUAUAUAUUUUUAGGUCUACAUAUUUUUAAUUAAAAUUUUAAAAAAUAUUUGAAAAAAAGUGUAGGUUUGGCGGAUACUUAUGCAGGUGUCCAUUGAAUAUUUAAUUAAUACCAUACCCACCAGCAUUUAGUACGGAUUUUGAUUUGUAAUACUAAAUUUAUCUGCAACCUGUAAAAUUAUUUAUAACAAGUGAGUUUGCAGGUACCAUUACCAUCCCUAAAAUUAAGUUUUAUAAUUUAGGAUUCUAAUUAAAUUAGAAUUAAGAUUGCGUUGAGCUAAUAUAAAUAGGUGGUUCUCAUUUUAUUUUUGAGUAGAUAUUAAUAAAAUUAAUUCCAACACAUAUUUAUUUUUCUCUUUUCUCUAUAAAUUCUUACUUCUUCAUCUCUUCCCUAUUGAAUUCUCUCUUCAAAGUCCUACAACCCUAACAUUGAUCAAACACUCCAAUUAAAAUAAUAUUAAUUAGGUGUUGUUAGACUUGCAAUUGAGAAGAAUUAAUAAAACACACAAGAAAUGAGCCUCUAACUUUAGAUAAUGAAGUAACAUGUAAAAAGUUUUGUUUGACGAUUUUACCUCCCAAAAACUUUGAGCCUUCAAUGGUGUCAUAAUGUUAAUUUCCGCAGUCAAGGGAAAGUUCAGGUUCCAUUCUCCACUAAGGACAAUCUUGUAAAAGCUUAACCUGACAACGACCACUUUCUAAUAUAUAAAAUAUUUUUAUUUUUCAUGUUUGUUUACUUCCGAGUGUGUUACAUAUAUUGUAUAUAACAAUAUUGCAGUGAAAAAGUUACAUUACCAGGUAAGCAAAAUGGUCCAAUUAUAUACUUUCUCUCCUCUGGGAAUUUCCCAAUGAACCAAUACUGGAUUUCUAGAUUGUUUCUUGCAGUCCAUGAUUGUCAGAUGUUACUCUAUUUUAGGUUGAAGUACUGAUUAUGUUCAUUCUUUGGAUGACAUGCAUAUAGUUUUGUAUUUUUCAGUGUUUCUAGUAUAGGCUGCUUUAAAUUCUAGUCAGAAACAGUACUGGGUAAUCAAAAGUUCAUUAUUUUGAUUCUUGCUUGAGACAUACAAGUUUCUCACAACAGUUUUUCUCUGUUCUGUGCUUAAUUUACAAUCUUGGUUAUAAAUAUGAGACAUAUUUCCCAAAUGGGUUUUUUCAGCAAUUGGCAAGUUUCUCAAGAAUAUAGCACAUUUUGGAAUCGAUUCCUUAAUUGGGAUUGUAAAUUUUGUGAAUCCGCUCCUUACCUGUUGGAGAUAUAAGGUGCUUGGGAUUAGGUUAGCUCCUUUAAAGUAUUCUGCUACCUGACAGAAUUUAAUUUGCCUUGAGAUCUUUGAAGAGCAAGAAUAGUGUUACUCUUGAAAGGCAAAUGAUAAAUGAAACUGACUUUGCUACUGAGUUCUGCUCUAUCUUGAUCUUUGGCAACUGGUUUCUCCAUUCUCCGUUCAAAGACAUUAACAUUGCUGUUGUUCUGCCAAGUGCUAGGCUGGCUGCUUGAUUUUUGAAAGUGUUUGAUGAAGUAGCUCCAUGGAAGACAAGUGUGAAAUUAAGAAAGAUGUUACGGAAGUAAUUUUCUUUGCACAGCUCAUGCUUUUGAUCUCAUGCUUUUGAUCUUGCCUUCUGUCUUCGGUUACUGUGAUCUUGCUUACAGUUUGGCUGUAUUUUGGCUUGUUCAGUUGAUAGGCCAUACACCGAUGGUGUAUCUCAAUAAUGUUGUGGAUGGCUGUGUAGCCCAUAUUGCUGCCAAGCUAGAAAUGAUGCAACCUUGCUCUAGUGUCAAAGACAGGUUAAUGACUUUCUCAUUCGUUAAUUACUAAUUGAUUGUAUUUGUUGGCGUAUGCGGGCUUAUGAUGCUAAUAUUAUAUUGGAAGUCAUGGAUUUGGUUUUCAAUGUUUUGACAUGCAGAAUUGCAUAUAGUAUGAUCAAAGAUGCAGAGGAUAAGGGCUUAAUAACCCCAGGGAAGGUAUUCAAUGGAAACUCUCCAAUUCUAAAGUUGAUUAAUCAUAAAAAUUAUGCUAUGAACUCAGUGUUUUUGUUUUCAGUCAACAUUAAUAACUUCAACCAAGCCCAUCCUGCUUCUUAAAAUUUUAAGAGUCUCUUGUGUUUUCCAAGACUUCUGCUCAAACUGGGUUUACACUGCUCAAACUGAUUGAUAAACAUGUUAACUAACAAAUUUGCCGUCUGGAUAUGUUGGAAUGUUGAUGGUUAAAGACUGUCCUCAUUGAGAUAACUAGUGGAAACACCGGCAUUGGAUUGGCCUUCAUUGCAGCAUCAAGGGGUUACAAACUUAUCAUUAUAAUGCCAUCAACAUAUAGUAUUGAGAGAAGAAUAAUUCUCAGAGCUUUGGGAGCUGAGGUUUAUCUUGCAGAUCCAGCAGGGGGCUUUGAGGAGUUUGUUAAAAAGGGUGAGGAGAUACUAAACAGAACACCUAAUGGUUAUAUUCUUGGACAAUUUGAAAAUCCCGCGAAUCCGGAGGUACUCUUUUCGUUGAUAUUACAAUACAGGUCUGCAUUUUAAAGGGUUUAUUAAUCUGUUUAUUGUCAAAUGUGUAGAUUCAUUACUAGACAACUGGCC
Molecule: long non-coding RNA, 82906 nt
Filed under: Citrus sinensis (sweet orange)
Lineage: Eukaryota; Viridiplantae; Streptophyta; Magnoliopsida; Sapindales; Rutaceae
Description: long non-coding RNA (CSIN_LNC001306)
Source: RNAcentral